Molecule: long non-coding RNA, 50585 nt
Filed under: Coffea arabica (coffee)
Lineage: Eukaryota; Viridiplantae; Streptophyta; Magnoliopsida; Gentianales; Rubiaceae
Description: long non-coding RNA (CARA_LNC003906)
Source: RNAcentral
UAAUUUAGAGUUUAAUUAAUGCAAAAUUUAUUUCUCUUGCAACCCACCAAGCUGCUCACUAGUUAAUGUUGUUUGACUUGUACAUUUGAAUUUUUUAACACUUGCAUUUUAGACAACGAAUACACACUCUUUUUUUUUUUGUAUACAAGUUAUUGAUAUUCAUAGACUAAACUAGCAUUUAGUGAGAUUUAAACCUAAUCUAUGACUUUUGAAAUUCUAACUUUGAAUUAUUUUGUGACUAGACUAAGACAUCGUUGGCACAAUAUAAAAUUUCUUUGGGUUGCUAAAAGAUUUCUAUAGUUUUAGUAUAGUUUUUUUUUUCCUUCUUACUAGUGAUAUGACUAUUGCGCGUCAUUGUACAAUUUGUUUAAAUAUUUCACAUUUAUUGUUUUAUGACUUUUAUUAUCUGGUAAUUUAUUUGUAUAGAAAAUUUAUUUUUAAUUAUUUAUAUUUCAUGUAUAACAUAUCACAAAAUAUAUUACAUGAAUUAUAUAUUACGUGAAUUAUUCCAAAAAUAUUUUAAAAUAAUCUCCUAUCUAGACCCUUGCCUUGUGAUAAUACAUAUGAGUUUGCAAUUGGACGCAAAACGACGAAGUUUGCAUGCAAAGAAAGAAGUCGUACUUAGAAAAGCGGUGGUGUCUGUUAUUGUGCUUUGUUUGUUAGUACAGUGUCUGAAAACACGUGUUGGGCUUGAAUCUAUUGACUUCUUUGAAUCAGGCACGUCCCCUCGAUGUCCCCGAGAACACCAUCCAUUCAUGAGAUGGUAAAUAUGUUUGGAAUAAUUUUUUAAAAUAAUACUUAUUAUAAUACCUUUUUUAUGCGACAUACGAGAGAAAAAAAAUAAUUAAAAAAUAUAAUGCACCCAUUUCUACUCCUAAUUAUGCACUAAAUAUUUUAUGAAUUGUUUCACAUUUUUUUAUGUUUCAUAAUGAGAUGAGACUUGUGUGUUUUGGAUAAAAGAUUACGUAUAAAAAAUAUUUUUAUAAUACUUUUUUGUAAUAAAUGUAUACUUCCUUUGUCCCAUUUUAAUAUUCAUGAUUUUUUUCUUACAUAAUUUAAGAAAAAUUAGUUAAUUUUAUUGGAAGAUUAAAUUUAGCUUACUAUUUUUCUAAAAUACCCUUACAUUGGCAUUGGAGUAUAUCUUUACAUUAAUUAUAGCAACAAUGUUAUGAAAAGUUGCACCAUUCAAUGUAUGGAUUCGAGCAAUUAAUAAAUGAGGUAGUUUAUAUUUACUGAUAACAAAAUACAUUAAAUAAGAGUAUUUUACAAAAUUUACAAGUUAAUUAUAUUAGUUAAUUGAAAAGUGAACUAUAAUUUAGAACAUAUAAAAAAGAAAACAAAAUUAUCAAAAUGAAACGAAGGGAGUAUAAAACAUAACAAUGAUUAAAAAUAAAAAAAUAAUUUAAAGGAAUUCUUAAUGCAAAAUUAUUACUGUAGCAUGCGGGAUGAAAAAAUGAUCGAAAAUUAAAAAAAAAAUGAGUUUCAAAAUAUAUCCAUAGUACAAAUUAUUUGGCAAAAGCUAUAAAAAACUUAGCGAACCGCGUACCUUUGAACCGGUCUCACGAUGACGUGUGUCCCAAAGGUUGUCCUGCCCAAAGUUUUAUUCUUCGUGCAAGCAAUCAUACUCUUGGAUUUUAUACUUUUUUUUAGGCACAUUUUCUGAACUUAUUAGCACUUCCUUCAACAAAAAAAAAAAAAAAAAAAAAACUUAUUAGCACUUGAACAACUCUGGUAUUAUGACUUCUCAAAAUAAAAUAAUUUUCUUUUUUUGGAAAGAACAGCUUCCUAUUAUUUUUCCUUAUUCUGGUUUGACAAGAAACCAGCAAAUAAUAGACUUAUUAGGAGAAGUCACAUUUAGUAGGAAGUUGCCGUCUUCAAUUGUGUUUGGAUUGUAAAUUUUUGGAAUUUUUAUAGAACAUGUACUAAUUUGAUGUAUGUGAAGUAAAACAGCGAGUGAUUGAGAAGUGUGUUCAUGGAAAACAUAGAGAUUUUUUAAUAAAACAAGGCGCAACAGACAUUUUUUACGGUAAAGCACAACGGACAUUUUGCAAUUGAAAACUCUUUGUACAAUGUCAUUAAUUAUUGUUAUAUAAACGUACGGUUCACGUAUUAGUGAUAUUACAACGUACGAAGUCCACCUCUCUUGUAAAGAGAUUUCCACGUGUGUAUUAAAUCACAAUUCACUAGCAAAAAAAAAAGGUAAGAAAUACUUGGUGGACUAUAGCUCAAUAGUUAGCACUGUAGCUUGGUAGAUCAUCUGAAUCCCUUUUUUGGGCUUGAAUUUAGAAUAAUGUAUUUGGAUAAAAUAUUAUUUGAAACACACAAAGCUAGACAUGAUUUUGCUAAUUGCCAAAUUUCUAUAUCAUCAUUUCCCUUUUCACAUAACUAGUAAAAUUUUAGUUUAUUCCUCAAACUUCUUUCCAAUAAAUUAUUUCUGAAUAGCUUCUAGAAGUACGUACUUGGAUUGAGUCCACGUACAUAGAGUGACUGAAAAUCAUGACAUCGGAAGCAAUAAACACAAAUAAAAGAAUUUUCAAAUCAGGAAUGCGGACGACGCUGCCUGCGUUUGAUUUUUUGGCGAACCAUGCGACCCGGACCUGGACCAUCUUGGAACAACGAAUCCUUGGACAUUUGCUGGCCCAUGUAGAAAGCUUUAGCUUUGUCAAUCGGCUGUGUGAUAUUGCCUAGAAUUCCUUAGACUAGAGAGGCUGAAUCAGAACAUGACCCCAUUUGUUUCUUAGGCCCAUUAGUCCAAUUGGACCAGGCAGUCAAGGGAUUUCGAAUUUUGGGGGCAUGAUAGCAAUCCACUCAAAUCCCUUUUUGAAAAAUUUUUUUUUUUUUGGUUGUGACUUGUUAGAGCAAUAGGCAAUCCCUCUUUGGGACAUGUUUCCGCCUUUUUUGGAGGUUUUGUUAUGAUAAGCAAAUAAAUCAUGAACUAUGUACACAUAUUCUGCUUCUUCCUAAACUCACGGAACUGAUCACUUAAGGGCCACGUACACCAGGAAGGGUAUUUAAGGCAACAAAGGAAAGAUUGGAAAUUACAAAUCUUGUGAUGCCCACCAGCGUCACUUGUAACCAAACUGCGAAACAACAAACAUACAACAAAUUUUCACAUUUUGGAUUGCCUUUGAUAGUAGAAAUUUCAUGUUUUGAUAAGCUCCAAUUAACAGGUCCGUUUGGAUUUCUCAUUUUUUAGAAAAACAAGUUUUUUAUAUAUAAUAUUACAGUAAUAUACAAAUAAAAAUAACUCUAAAAACAUUACACCCAUAUAAUAUAUUAAAAACAACUACAAAUAUACAAAAAAAUAUAAAAAUAAAAUUUAUAUCAUUUUUUUUCUUGCAUCUAUCACUACUAUCCACCACCGCCACCCUUACAUCCACCGCUAUCAUUCCCUCAUUUCUCAUCUUUUCUCUAUCUCUCUCUUCCUCCUCCUCUUCCCUCUCCCUCCCGCAUUCUUCUUUCUCCUUCCCUUCCUCUUUCCCGCUGCACCCCACCCCUCCCCUUCCUCCCAAAUAUGGCAUCAACCAGAGGUUGUGAUCCAGUCGCAGCCGAAUCGAGACCAGAAGGACUGCAGUCUAGUCGUGAUCAAAGGGUUAGAUCGAGGAGAAAGAGGGAAAGAGGAGGGGUGAGGCAUGACAGGGAAAGGGAGGAGGAGGAGAAGAGAGGAGGGAAGGAAAAAAAGGGAGGAGGAGUAGGAUGGAGCGGAUGGUGGUGAAUUUUUAAAAAUAUGGUAAAAAUUUUUAAGAUUUAAAAAUGCUUCAAAAUAUAUGUCAAAAACAUCAUGAAAAAACAUUUACAGUAAAUUUAUAUAUAUAUUUUUAAUAAAAUAUUUCAAAAACAAAUCUAAAAUUAGUUAAUCCAAAUAUAGCCAACAUUUUCUAGCAUGCAGAGAUAUGAUGCAUGCUGCCCAAUGGAAAAAAAAAGAAGAAGAAGAAGAUAAACACCACUGAUAUAUGGUAGGUACUCUUUUUUUUACGGAAGCUAGAAUUAUAAAUCUAAUUCCAUAAGAAACCUCAAAAGCCGGCAACUCUUGAAGUCCUCCCAGGACUUAUAAAUCUAACUCCAAACCCCCCAAGAACCGAUGUGAGAUGUCAACCCCACAAGGGCUUAUAUGGUAGGUACUCCGCUAGGCAGGAUCCAUUACAGUUACUGUGGGAAAAGCGAACGGUGAUUGAUCCUGAUGUCAUCAUUGGGAAUUUUGUUCAUCAGAUGUUAGUUAUGUACUGCGCGGGUAAGUAGUUUCGAUUCGUGGAGCACUUGGUAGUGCUCAAGGAGGCGUGUAAAUUUUCUUUGAUAUUCUUGCAAAAUCCAUGAGACUCUAAAAUUACUCAACUAUUUAUCCAAAUUGUGAACCUGUGGCGUGCCCCGUUGAGCUCAAGUUUUAACAGUCGACAUCAAAAUUCUAUCCAAGAUUAAUUAUUGUCAUAACUCGGAAUCAACAAAUACAAUAAGGAUUAAUUUUUACGAUACUGUCAGUGUAUACACUGAUGAGAUUGGAUGAAUAUCAUAAUAUUUGAAAUUGUUUUAAAUAUCAAAUUCUGUACAUGUGAUAUGUAUUUAGAUUCGUUAGUGUAUAUAUUGUGAGUGUAUAAAAAGAUUUAUAUAUACAAUAAUGGUUAAACUGCUUCACAAAAUUCUGAUUGACUUCCAAGUAGCCGUCAUUUAAGUCCUAAAUCACCAGCCCAAGCGGCCAAGCCUUAAAUUUACUUCAAUUCUGCAAUGCACGGCCGGUCCAUCUAUAGAGCAUAGACCUUUUACCCGUUUCACGUAACAAAAAAUUUCGAUAAUAAUAAAGGUCAAAAUUUGGAUAGAUUCGAUUCUUGAAAAUACAAUAAUCAAGAUUAAAAAUAAUAAAUCUGUGUCACGACACUUAGUGAGAUAGUACGAGACAAUUUGGACUAUUAAAUUUUUAAAAUUCGAGUUUAUUAAAGUAUUAGCUGAUACUAAAUAUAAACAAAGCUUCAUCUCUAAUCUUCUAUCAAGAAACACUCUAAAGUGCAAAAAGUAACAUACUUACAACAAGAGUUACGGGCACCCCAUACUCAAAGCAAUCCUCCACCCAAUUUGCAGUAAUUGCAAAAAGUAAUUAUCGUUUGUACCUAAUUUCGGCUCUAAUGCACUAUCCAGAUCGGGAUUAAUUUGACAGAGACGUAUUCCAGAAACGAGGAAACAAAUUACCUCACAAGCGCAGCAAAUUUCUGCAUUACUCAUUGCAAUAAACAUUCCAAACUCCGUUAUUUAGUCAAAAAAAGACGCCAACCUUAAUUGUCUUCGUGGGGAAAAAAAAACAAAGAUAAAGACCAAAUUACGAGCUGUCGGCGCAAAUAGUUGGCGGACGGUAAAAUGAAUGGAACUGUCCUGUGGCAGCUGACAUCAUAGAGUCCAUCAUGAAUUAUGCGCGGUCCCACCUAAUUGAAUGUCGCCAACCACAUUUGGUCUCAUGUCCUCGGCAUCACAGCCCUACAUGUCACAACGUGGUGAACAUCAUUCGGGAUCGACGGCCAGUGAUUAUUUAAGUUUAUGGAGAUUUGCGCAAUGAUUGAUGAGCUUGUGAUGUUGCCACCUGAUACAAUCUCUCGGUCUGCGUACCCCCUCAAACAAAUACUCCCUCCCUUCUUUUACAACUGACGUUUAAGAAAUUUGCUUUUAAGUACUUUUAUCUGUCAUUUUAUUAUUCCUAUGCAGCAUUAAUUAUUUUUCACAAUUUUAUCAUUUUAUCUCUCUUUUCAUAAUUGGUGAGAGUUAAUUUGCAUUGCUUUUGACCUAAUAAAAUAUAUGUACCAUUUAAUAUUCUAGUGAGAGAAAACAUGGGUGAAUUGGAUAAUUAAUGAGGGUACAAAAGGAAAGUAGUGUAUAGAUUUAAACAAUGAAAAAUUUUUCUUAAUUGGUGUGCAAAAUCUUAAACGUCAGUUAUAAAAAAAGGGAGGGAGUAUUUGGGAUGGAUCGUGUGGUUCCAAAAACCAAAAAAAAAAAAAAAAGAAAACGAAAAGAAGUGUGAGUGAUAGGUUUUAGAUUCAAAAACUCCUUUCGAUUAUAUCAUUAUAAAAAAAAAAAGAAUGGAUUUGAGUACGAGUCAUUUGUCAACAAAUUAUUUGCUUAUAUCAUAAACGUAUUUAUCCUCCUACAAUUAGCCAUUUAUAAAAAAAAAUUUGCGACAAAUGUGUACAGCGUUACAUGAAAUAUAUAUUAUUGUGUGCUACUCAACCUUUUCAGAUAUUGCGGGUGGACUUCGUACGUUUCUAAUACGGAAAGGCGUGUUCCCAUUUGGGGUCAAAGUUCAAAGUCGUGGAGCUGUUAAAACAUGAAAUAUAUUAAUAUUAUCAUUAUUCCAGGACCUGGUCACCGCACGGAAUGACUUUGGUAGAUGGAAAAACCCGUCGUGUCAUAUUUCGGGAAGGAAAGUAGUUGGAAAUCUGAUUUAUUUAUGGUAAAGAAAUGAUUUUUUAGGAUAUCAUAAUUUCAAAUACAUCUCAAGUCAACACACUCGAAAAAGAACUCUUUGAACAUUGAAGAAAGAAAAAAAGGAUGAUACUCGGGAUAGAAAGUAUUACCAAAGGAUUUAUACAGGCAAGGAUAAGGAGAUGUGGAUGUUUUUCUGGAUAUGGAAAAGAAGAUGCAUUUGUUAGCUUUUCAUGUAAUAUAAAAAAAUGGUUUCACAUAUCAAAAUAGGAAUUAGGGGAGCUACACAGAGAUUCUUGAUUGAAUUCAAUCAAACAGCUUCAUAACUAUAGAAUGUUUUGUCAAAUUUAUAGAGGCAAGUUUUACCUCACACUCGAGGCUUAUAUCAUCUACAUGAAGCAUCUUCUGUUAGAACAUGCAUGUAAAAUUAAAAGCCAAAACUGGAAACAUCCUCUGUUUCCUCCUCUAUAUUCUGUACAAACCAAACCAAACAAUGGAAUGCGAUGCAUAAUAUACACCAAAUAAUUACUACUUCAUCAAGUACAUGCUAGUGUACAAGAUUACUUGGAAACAUAAAAAAAAAAAAAAACCCAAUACACCAAAAUUUACCACGGCAAGCAAAAGAAUGAAAACAAGAAAAAGAGAGGAAAUCGUGCAGGAGGGAGGCCACGAAUGCCAUGCUAAACAUGACAAAUAAGGAAACAGUUAAAGAAAGAUGGUGGUGGGCUCAGGCUAAAGCUAAGUUGCCAGCCGUCUCACAGUUUUGUGAAGCUAAUUAAAACCACUGCCAAGGAGAAAAUGGAGCAGUGAAAAAAUUGUUAUUGGCUAAUUGCAAGAGGGAUGGGGAAAUGGGACUAGGCUUGUAGGAGAGCAGUACUACUGUUCCCAUCUGAAUUCAGAAUCCGACCUUUCCCUCCGAUCAAUAAAUCUAUUUUGUCAAGAAUCCCGACUCCUCAAUUAGUACCAGCCGUACUAUUAGUAAUUAGACUUGUAGACUCAGUGGUCACUCCUCGCCACCUUCUUCCCCAUCUCUCGCUCCUCCUCCAACCAUAUUAUGCUCUUUUCCCCUUAAAUUCUGUAACAGAAUCUGAUUCCAAUCUCAACCCAAAAACCUUUUCCUCUUCCCACCUCCAGCCCUUGUCCAAAGAUUAAAUUUUGAUACCAAUUAUCCAAUUUCUGUCUGAGGUAUUAUAACUUUUACGGCUAUUAAACAUAAACAUUACCCCACAACCUUAUUAUUUCCUUACUCCUAGAAUCACAGACCAAAAUUUUGUCUUCUCCAGCUUUCUUUGAUCGGAGAGUCUGUGUCUUUAUGAAAAGAUUGUCUUUUUCUUAUCUCUGCCUGUAAUCCAUUCUACGUGCAAGGAAGACUGGAAAGGUACGACACGUUAAACAAUUGCCUAAAGAAAAAGGUUUUCUCUUUCCUUCUUGCCGUUCUCCCCCUUUCACACGCACAAACAGCACGAACGUGUGAACCUCGCAAGUGAACGUGACGGAUUCAUUCCUUUUAAUGCUGUUAUUUUUUCUGUUGUUGUCUGCUGUAAAUGGGUUUUAGUUUUUUUUGCUGGUUGGAAUGAUUUCUGAAGUUCUGAGGCCGAUUUCAUUAAGAUUUUUUUGCUGAGUCUCAGGAUCUUGUUUUGGAACUCUUAAUGUACUGAAUUUAAGAUUGGGUUUUUAUGAAGUGGGUUUUUCAGAACGUCUUUAUACAAUUAAACGGUUCAUGUAUUACAAUUUAGUGGUGCUGGCAAAUCAAAUUUCUUGUUGCUAAUAGUUUGUCCGGUUAUUGAGAUUUUAAUCCUAGUGAGGAACGAAUAUCAAUAGCAUUUUGUUUUGACUUUGGGAAAAUUCUUCUUCUUUUUUUUCCUCCUCUCUGUGAUUUAUUUAGCAUUUCUUUCUUUUACUUUCUUAAAUGAAAAUUGAUGAAAGAAACUACAUGUUUAUCAGCUCCUGCAUGAUACGUUUGUGGCCUUAUUGCUGACUCUGUUGUUUGGUAUGCUAACCAUUUUCGAUUUUCCUGACGUAAUAUGGCCGUCUUUUUCUGUCUAUUUAAUUACUUAACGGUGAAUACUCCAACUAAAUCAUCUCUCUGUUUAGUUGUUUACGGAGUGCUCGAGUUUUUUUUAAUCAUGCUGAUUAUUUAAAUAGGCAUAGACUAAGCUUUUGUUUUAUUUUGAACCAUGAUUGAUCAGCUAUUGUUGAAAGCUACAAAUUACCGUACCCACUCCGAAGCGGCAUUGAUCCUUCUUUGGCCAUUUGGUUCAGAAAGUAGAGUCCAAUAAAAAUCCAUUAAGGACCAGUGACAGUAAAUUACAUUUCGUUGCUGAAUUGAUGAGAAAGUGAGGCAAACUGAACUCAUGAUAGACUUCAGCCAUGGGGUCCUUGAACAUGGAGAAGAGAUGGGUUUUUCCUCUUGCAAUCAGUUCACUGGUAUGCCUUUUCCUUAUUGCAACCUCGUUCAAUAUGGGGAUGGUUUCAUCAUUGCAAAGCAUCAACUCAAUCUUCUCAAUGUUCCCCUCUCGUGCAACUGCUAAUCAAACGAGCCAAUUAUUUGUUGAAGCAAAGGUUAACCAAUCUCCACCACCUCCAGCUGCUCCACCAGUUCCGCGUUUUGCAUAUCUGGUAUCAGGAUCAAGAGGUGAUCUAGAAAAGCUUUGGAGAACUCUCCAUGCAUUGUAUCAUCCACGGAAUUAUUAUGUUGUACAUUUGGACCUGGAAUCCCCUGCAGAGGAGAGGCUGGAGCUUGCUUCUCGGCUUGAGAAAAAUCCCAUAUUUUCUAAGGUUGGGAACGUAUUCAUGAUUAAAAAGGCUAACAUGGUUACUUAUAGAGGUCCCACCAUGGUCUCUAAUACGCUUCACGCUUGUGCCAUUCUUCUCAAGAGACACAAGGAUUGGGAUUGGUUUAUUAACCUAAGUGCUUCAGACUACCCAUUGGUGACUCAAGAUGGUUAGUUUUAUUGGAAAUUCACCAAUUGGUAUUGAAGUGUUUGUGCUGGAGAUUGCUCUUAUUGUUCUUCAUUUCAUUCAAGUCCUUGAUUUCUCAAUUUUGCCCUUGCAGAUCUUCUGCAUACCUUUACUGGUUUAAGGCGGGAUUUGAAUUUCAUCGAGCACACUAGCCGAUUGGGCUGGAAAGAGUAAGCUCUCUUGGUGCGUUUUUUGUUUGGCUCAUGCAUCUAUCAAGAAAUGAAUAUCAGCACCUAAUACCAUUACAUUGGGUUGUGUUUCAGGAAUCACAGGGCAAUGCCGUUGGUCGUGGAUCCCGGGCUCUACCAGGACACAAAGUCUGAUAUAUUCUGGGUCCAACCUAAGAGAACUUUGCCCACUGCAUUUAAGCUCUUUACUGGUUAGUUUUUUUCAAUAUGGCAAAUUUUAUGUGCCGAUGUACCAUGUCAAGAUAAGUGCCCCUCUGCCAAAGAAGUGGUCCUGAAAGCCAAACCUGGCCUCUUACCAUGGCCAAAUUGUAUUUUCCUAUUGACCGUCCAAUUCAAUCAUUGCUUUUCCUCCGCUUGGAUAAUUGUCUUUCUCCAUAUUCUGAUAUCUUCUUUCCUCUGCAUAGUUCCUUUCUCAGCCAUGCAGCGUAUUGAGUUAUAGCUUGUAUCCCUGAUGGGUAGUUCAGUUGCUGAUUGCAUAUGUCUUUCUCUUACUGGGAAAUUAGGCUGAUAUCUUUUCCAACUGUUCUGCAGACCACCCUGCUUUUCUUGUUUCCUAUCAAUGUUAUCUCUCCCUUUACAACCUUCUUUCAAUUUUAUCCUUGCAGUAUCUGUCUACAGUGUUUUGUGUAUUGAAAUUGCUGAUUGCAGUAACUCGUAACAGAGUUCUGAAGGACAUGUAGGCAAAUACACAAAACAAAACUUAUUGCAAAUUGUGCUCUGUCGGAACUUUUGUUGUAAUGGUCUUUUUUUCUGAAACAUGGAACGGAAACUGUUGGUGAGGUUGAGGUUUUAGGAUUGAAACGUUUCUCUCUAGAGAUUUUACCUAUUUUAUCAUUUUCUAAGAGCUGUGGCCUAGCUUUACACGAAUUCCCUCUUUUACAGGUUCUGCAUGGAUGAUCCUGUCGCGUGCUUUUGUGGAGUACUGCGUCUGGGGUUGGGAUAACCUUCCUAGAACUCUACUAAUGUACUAUACAAAUUUUGUAUCCUCUCCUGAGGGGUAUUUUCAGACAGUUGUUUGCAAUGCCCCAGAAUUUGUACCCACUAUUGUCAACCAUGACAUGCACUACAUAGCUUGGGAUAAUCCCCCAAAACAGCAUCCGAAAACCCUCCACCUGAAUGACACAGCUCCAAUGAUUGCAAGCGGUGCUCCAUUUGCUCGUAAGUUCAGGGCAAAUGAUCCUGUAUUAGAUAAACUUGAUAACGAGUUCCUCGGUCGCAAAAAUGGUAGCUUCACACCCGGUGGUUGGUGCCGCGGUAAACCUCGUUGCUCGAAGGUUGGAAAUCCUGCGAAGCUGAAACCAGGCCCUGAUGCUGAACGCCUGCGCGGUCUAGUAGAUAAUAUAGUUUUGUCCCCAAGAUUUAGUGAGAAUCAGUGUAAGUAGAUUAUAGUGUAUCAUUCUUACUUGCAGAUUAAAAAGGGCAAGCUAAAUUUACUUCCAUAAGCCCCAACGAUUCUUUGUUGGAAGCUGGAGUAUUAUAACAAUGACACUGCACAGUUAACAUCAUUUUUCUUUGAUCGUAAAAACGCAGCUUUCUCGACUGCAAUGGUAAUAAUACCUGCUUCUGGCAUCACCGUACAUGUUCCUAGUCCGUUUAUCCGAGGAUCGGAACAUGUUUUUCUUUUCUUUCUUUUGAUGUGGAUUUGGAUCUGUGUUCGUGAUCACUUGUUGAAAACAAUUACAUCCGCGUCAUUUUUUGACGAUUUCUUGCUGGCAAACAGUUACAGAUCAGCCGACGCAAAACUUUAUCAACGACAAAAGUCGCUCGGCAGCUCAGCCGACGCAAUCUUUAUAUGGUAUUGAUGACCAGGGUUCUCAAUGAAUCUAGUCCAAUUUUGGCAUAAUUAAGUAGUACUCAUAUUAAUUUAUUAAUUAAUUUUAUCAAGUUUAAACUCGAGAGAUUCUUAAUGUAAAACUCAAAUUCAAAUUCGAGUCCAGUGUAGUCGGUUCUUAAGAAGGAACCGAAUUUCACACUAGUUGCGCUGUUUGUUACCAUCAAAGACUAAAAUCUUAAUGGCUUGGGAGAUCAAAUGUUCAAAAUUUAUUUUCUAUCGCUUGUCAUUGUACGUGACUUCUCUAAAUCUAUACGAGUGUAUAGUGCAUCCGUUUUGAUUCGACGGUAAUUCAAUUUUCGUCGAGUCUCUAACGGGCUCGAGCGUAGAAGCAGAAUAGAUAAUGCUGAAUGGUAAAAAAAAAAAAAAAAUGCACUUUUUAACUCAUUUUCUAAUACUAACUUUUUAUAUUUUCCAGUUGUCGGUGGGGAUAAUUGGAUGGACAUAAUAAGCGGACACGGUACUCGCAUCUGCAUACUGGUGGCCUCUUUUCCUUUACAAUCACCUGAAAAGAAGUCACCCACCAGAAAGAAUGUCACGUUUCUGGAAGUUCGAGUCAAUUAUAUAACCCAACAUAUCAUUCUCACGGAAAGAUGCUUUUCGCACAUGUGAUAUACCAGUAACAAGGCAAAUUCUACGGUAGGGUAUAUGGCACUGUGAUAAACCACAGCUUAAAAACAAAAAGCUUAUCACAUGAUAGUAAUAGAUGAGACCGAUCAAACAUUUAAUUUGUCCUGGUUUACCCGGAUGCCACAUUUUUUCUGUCCCACCAGAAAAUUUUCUAACUAGUGUGAGUACCCACCACCCCCCCCCCCCCCCAAAAAAAAAAAAAAACCCCUCGCACGCUUCUCUCUCAAGAGUCGCCAUGACUAUCGCGAAUCAAUUAUUCAAUUCAAUUCAUCGUGGGCUAAUUCAAAUUUUUAUUUUCCUCUCUCUUUCCGUGGCUGUCCUUCUUCAAGUUCUGGUGCAUUCGAUACCAUUUAGAUUUCAUGUGUCAAAGCACUGGCUUCACUAACUGUAAUAACCAACAUCUUCUGGGUCGCUAAUGCCACGCAACUGUGGCAGGUCAGAUUUGACCAAUCAAAAGUUAGUUUGUCUUUGGCUAUGGCCGAAAAGCUGCUAAAAGAGGUUCGGAAUUAUAAACCCAUUUCCAUCUUUAGGAACCCGCCUUUACCACUUCCCCUCUGCAUUUGACCCAGAAAACGGCGUACAUCAAGCCACCAAUCCUCCCAUUCCAAACAUACAAUCCACUUCUGAAUGAUCGAGACAAAGGAAGUUCAGAAUUUAAUCACCAUCCAAUGCAUCAAAUUGUUCCUCUUGGUAUAGCAAUUAUAAGAUCAGAACAAAUUUCACAUCUUGGAGGAGGAGGCUGGGAGAGAAAUGGGGAGACUCUUACUCCAGAUUGGAAGGGAGAUGGGAGCGGGGAGAGGGCUGGAGCACCAAAGCCAUGGCGGUAAAUAAUAGUAGGUCAUUGGCUGUGUAAAGGUAUUUUAGGUUUAUAGAGUGAAAUUGUUGCUCUGAGUCGCUAUUGCCAUCCAUUGAGUCAAUAUCAUAAUACAUAUAUAGUAGUAUAUUCUAUAUCAAUGAUUGCAAUUCUAAAAAUUACAAGAAUAUACAUAGAAAAAUCAGCGUUUUAUCUUUCCUUUCGGGCUCCUCUUUCUAUUUCUUAUCUACAGUACACUUGAACAAUGACGAAUCUCAGUGCUCCAGUUAACCAUCCGCUAUUCUACUAAAAGGCAAAAAUUUGUUUUGCAGGCUGCUGUUGAUGUUCCUAGUGACUUCAACCUUCAGUGGAGCAGGCCUCGAUAAAAUGCUCCUUGGGUAUAAGCCACUCUUUUAAUCUGUGUUUCCGCUGAUGCUGUAUUCCAUUUUCUCUCUCUUUUUUUUUUUUUGGAAUUCAUUCUUUAAGACUUAGCUCAAACCAUCUCCAACAACUUGAUAUUUCCCGUGGAGUUAGCAGCAACUAAGGUGGAGGAUGACUGACCACGCCAACACACAGAGGAGAUAAACUGUGCACUGUCGUCCACUUCAUCACCCGAAAGCGGAUCUGUGAUGUUAAAUUUAUAUGACAACGCAGGCAUGGGAAGAGCUUUGUGGUAUACAAAAACCUGUAACCAGAAAACCAAAGACAAAACUACAUUUACCAAUCACUGAACAGGUGAUCAUUCACUGCUGUACCAUAUAACAUACCAGUAAAUUGGCUUAAAAGAUUUUGUGAGGGACUGGAGGAAUAUGACAGAACAAACAUGGGAUGUAACAAACGAGGGUGACUCCACCGCAGUAAUUCGACCUUUCGUAAUCAUCACAUAGAGCUGUGAAGGGGGAAGUGCUGGCAACAGAUGUGAACUCAAACUGACUUUUCAGGAACAAAGUAAAUGUGAACCCACCCUUCCAAGACCAGAAAAAGGUAAUUAUGACUAGACAUUCUUGAGGCAUUUAGUAGCAUACAAAGCAGAGAAACUUUCAGUGCAAUGCAGAGUUUAAGGAAGAAAAACCAAGGACAAUCAUACAUAACUACAGCAGAAAUCAAAAUUAGAUCGUGUAAACUGCUGUGCAAAGCAUGGGAUACCUCAUUUGUCUCUGAUCCCGUUGCAAUGUAACCAUCAGAUACAGAUAGGCCAACAAAGUUCUGCAACAAAGAUGUAUCCACAUUAAGGAUGAAAACCAUAGAUGUUUCUAUAAGCAGAAUUUGGGUUUUACCUCAACUUAAUGAUCAAGAUGCAUAUGCAACAAAAUGAAUCAAUGAAUAUUAAAACUAGAGGGAGAACAGAAGGAGGGGGGGGGUGUGUGUGUUAGGAGGCUAGGAGCAAUGCAUAUGCACAUUCUUCCUCUCUUUUCUAACAACCUUAUUUUCUUUGCUUAUUUUUAAUAAUUUCAUUCCAAAUAACAUCAAUUGCUGAUAAAGACCACUCCCAAAACCUCAUCCAGACUUUAUUUUCUCAAUAUAGUUGGAAAAAAAGAUACUGAAUACAAAAGCUAUAUGUAUUUUGCCUCUCACAAUGAACUAAUCAUCUCAACGGGCCUUGGAAAGUAUAAUGAAAAAGAACUUGUAUGCAUUAUAGUAAUUCCACUGCUUAGAUGAGCUGAAAAUUGAAAGAACUGAAAAGAAUGUCCCGUUUGUAACCCUACUGCCUAGUUUGGGAGAUGAGAUCUGAGCGGAAAAGAAACGAAGGGAAGAAAAAAGUAGGUAUUUCCCACGUUUGAGAGUUUUAGUGGAACAGAAAGGAAAAGAAUCCAGCUGAUUUGGAAGGAAGAAGAUCUGCUACAGUUAAAAAAAAUUUUCCAUCCCAAAUCGGCCAGAAAGCGAAGGAAAGCUACGGAAAGGCUACAAAAAAAUUUUUAAAUUGCCCAUUCUAUCCUUGAGAAGCUAUUGAAUGGAAUAUUUAUUGACCAAUGCGUCCAAAAUCAUCUCCUUUCUUUACACAAACUCCCAAACAACAUUAAAAUCUCCUCUCUUCUUUUCUUAUCAUUUCUUUUCUCUCAUAACUUAACCUUUCUCUUCUUUUCUUUUCUAUCCUGAACUCCCAAACUAGCUUUAAAUAAAGAUCAAUUAUCAAUGAUAGCAAAACUAAAUUUGUUAACACAUUUGCCUGACCUUAUCAUACUUGAUACCAUACAAUUUUAGUUAUAUAUCAAUUUCAAUGAGAAUACCAAAUGAAUUGAAAUGAUAUAGCAGACACUAAGUCAUGAUAUUUCUGUAGGGCCACUUUACUAAACAAAAUGGAAAAACUCAAUACAAAGACAGCAUAGUGGUAUUCAAUCGUCAGAAUUAACCUUUAACUGUCCCCAACUUACUCAACAUCCUGACUAAAAGACCAAGCUACAAUUUCUAAAAUGAUACACAAUAUCAAGCAAUAAAACAAAAAGCUCUACCUUCACAUUCAAGUGCCCGGUGAAUGACUGAAGGGGACAAUCAAGAACCCGAGCUGUGCACAUUGACAAGUCCCAGAGCUUCAAUGUGUUAUCUGUAGAUGCAGACACAAGUGUUGUCGAAUCUACGAACUUAACAUAGCUCACAGUCUUGUUGUGUCCAAUCAACGUGCAGAGAGGCAUCUUAGAAUUGCGUAGAUCAUAAUAGUAUAUCUUAUGGUCUGCUGAUCCAAAUGCAAGGCGACGACUGGAUUCAAAUGGAAACUGAACACAACAGACAUUUGCCUUUGUCUUAAUGGUACCGAUGCUUACUCCCUGCAGUAGCAACCCAUGUAAGAAAAACAACUUAUUACACAUCAAGAACCCAGCCUAUACAGCAAUAACAAUUAGAUGACUGUAGUACGUUUAGUUUCAAAGCUGACAUCCACCAAGUGCAAAAAUAGAAUUGCCUGAUUGAUAUUCCAGAGCUUAACAGAACCAUCAUCACUCCCGCUAGCCAGCAAUGUUGGAUCAGCUACUGAGUAGUCAACGGACCAGACACGGCUCUCAUGCUCGCUCAUUUCCAUAAAGAUUUGACUUCUUGUAACGUCCCAUACCUGAAAAUAUCUCAAGGAGACGAGCCAAUUUUUAAUUUUUUCUUAUUCUUAAAAAAAAAAAAAAAGUGGACAAGAGUUCAAGUCUAUUGAUUUACCUGAACCACACCUUCAAAGUUACUGGAAGCAAUCUGGCUCUUAAUAUAUCCAUUCCAACAUAUACUGCUUAGCUUUGAUCUGCUAGCCAUUUCAACAACAGGAUAAUGGAUAUCACGGUCUUUGUUUAGAAUCGAAUUAUAUUCAAAGACUUUGAUCUUCUUAUUCACACCAGCAGUUGCAAAAAACUCUCCAUCACGAUCAAAACUCAGGGAGCAUACAAGGUUGGAAGAAUUUAAAAGAUCUCCCUGCUUCAAGUCUGCCUUCACCUUUAACUUGCUAAAUGACAAAUACUUGCACAGACCCUCAAGAAAUGAAUUUAUCCAUCCACUUUGUCUAUCCUCAUUAUAUUGUUCUUUUGAUGACAACUUACUGAGAGAACUUCUUUCUGUCGCUACAACUGAUCCUCUUGCAUCACUACUAAUUGGAGAACUUCUGGCAUAUACUUUUCCAGAUGGUUUGAGAGCCCGCCGCCUAGUUAAAAAGUAAGCUGACUCCAAUUUUCUAAAGUUUUUCAUGAGUCGGGAACUCUUAGAAAGAAUAGUUGCUUGGUUUUCUGGAACAGGAUCAUCAAGUUCCUCCGCAUUAUGGGUAUAAAGCCCAGGCCUGCAUCGUUUUCUCGACCCUGAGCUACCAGAAUCACCCUCAUCUACUGUAUUGGAUGAAGGGGGCCCUGAAGCUGAAUCCUUCACCAGGUCUAUGCUUGUGCCUCCUUUUAUCCUAAGGGCAGUUUGCAAUUUUGUGACUUCUUCGAUAUCAGAAGUCAAAAAGGACACCAUUUCAUGCAAGUGAUCUGCUGCAUCCUGUUUCCUUUGCUUUAAUAGUAACAAAAAUUCCAGCAACAGCUCUUGUUCAUCUAUUUUUUCUCGAAGUUCUAUUGCUGCCUCACGUUCCUCAAUGUUGUCUCUUGGUUCAUUUAGAAAUUCGCUUUGCAACAACUCCCUGCAUCAUGUGAUUGAGUAUGGAAACGAGACCAAUAACCAAUUAUUGAAAGCAUAAAAUGUUGGGGAGAACCCAUACAAAGGCACAAAGACAACCAAGGGAUGUACUUUGCAAUAAAAGCCAGGAGAGGUAGCAUCUCAAGUCUUGAUGGUAGCCUUAAAAUCUUAGUUACUAGUGUAGAAAUAGCCUGAGACUAAGUGGUAACAGUAGUGCUCAUGCACUUCUGAAUUACAAGCUUAAGCAUCAGUCAGACCAUAAAUUUAUGCUAGUGGCCUGUCCCUCUCCUUUCUCUAAAUCUUUUGGCAAUGUCUGAGGACUAAUACACAUCCAAAGCAGCAAAAUGCAACAGAAGGAAAAAACAAACUACUGCAAGACAUCACAAAAAUUUUAGUGAGAGAUUAAAGGUACGUUUCAAGUCCAGAAGCCAUAAUUGGCUUCACACUCUUCCAGGAAACCCAAUAUGACAUGUGCUAGGGUUUCUGAAAAAGCAGAUUUUUGUAUGACGAGUCCAUUAGCACUAUAGAACACAACAUACUAAGAGUAUCCAUAUAUAUCCUUUUUAGAAGUUGGCUAUUAUGGCGGAUAACUUCAACCAGCAGAGAACAAAAACAUCUUUGGAACAGGUGAAGUUGAAAUGGUAAAAGUGCAGUAAAUCCCACCCCAUUUUUGGCCGACUACUUGGCUCAGGAUGCAACAACCAUAGGCAAAAUGAUGCUUCUUUAGGCCACUUCAAAAGCAACUGAGGAGGGAGAACACGAUGUCUCAGACUAGACAUAGUUGCACUUUUCUCUUCCACCGAGCUAAAUGUGCAGAACAACUGUUCAUCAGCAAAAUAUUUAUCAGAGAGGAAAGAGGUAAAACACAAGCUUAUUUAUUAUUCGAUACAACACUGAACUGAGGAGACCAUGAUUUACAGUAAGUCGUCAUUUCAGGAUCUCGGUAACUGAUACUAACCUCAAAGAGAAGAACCCCCAGUCGAUAAAUGUCUGAAGCACUGGAACUGGGGCCACCAGAAACUUCUUCUGGACAAUUGUACCAAUUGGUUUCCAUCAACAAUAUAUGUUUCAUUGGGAAGGAAUGCUUCCUUUCUUCCGUCUGGUCAUCAUUUGGUGCAACCUCAGCCUGUCUGGCGCUUGACCUAAUGCAACUUGUUUCAGAUACUAUUCGAGAUGCAUUUAGGGGAUUCAUCUCAAGUUGCAAGGUUUCAGUAGCUAGCUGACUUCCUCGUUGGGGCAAGUCUGAAGGCAAAGGCGAAGACGCACCUUUAAACUCAGCCGUCUGGCUGUUUGUUCCUUCCUCAAACGAAUCUGAACCCGAAUCCGAGCAAGAAGCAGAUUCAAUGAAAGACACACGGUUAAGUGAGGACAUGACAAAGCAUGAGGGCCGCACAUUAUGGAGGAUUAUUCCCUGAGAAUGAGCCAGGUUAACUAUAUCUACAAUUUGAGUAAAUAUGUGUAAGCAUUCAAGAGCAUCAACAGUUCUUUCUGGGUUGUCCAACCACUGUCUCAGACUGAUAUCAUUACAUUCUAUGGCACGAACAACUGGGUCCAGAGCUACUCCCUCCUCGAAGCCCCCAGUAUAGGUUUUAAACUGGUUAGUUAUAUGAGGUAGCACAAUUCUCUCCCUCACUUUUCUUCCUGGUCUAAACCCAAACUCAGACGACGUAUCUCCUGAGGACCUGAUAGUGUUGGCACGAACAAGUCGAAGAUUCCCCUCCAAAACCGAAGAAGAAUUUAAACCCCUAGAGCUAUCUGACCUCUGCCAGCCAGAUUCAGAUGAACCUUCCAUUAGUCUCCACCUCUACUAGGGUGAAGCCCAAGAAACACAAACCCAAGCCAAAGAAAAGGAAGAAAUCUUAGACCUUCAACACAUUCUUUGACUUCCACCACAGCCAUUUUCGAAUCAAAAACACAUCUUAACCACAGAAACCACCAAAACCUUUUAUUUGCCCUAAACCUCAGUGAUCACUUUACCACACCAAAACCUUCCUGCGAACGUUAAGAGAUGUAGAAAUGAGCAUAAAGCACCAAACUUUGAACUUUCCACAUUAAAGAAAGUGAAACUCCAUCAACAAACAAAACCCGUAGAAGAAAAUCCCAUAAACGCUAUUCAGAAGAAAAAAAGGCUAGAAAGAAAAUUUCAUACGGCCCAGAAGUAGUGACCAUGCAGUAUGAUUAUGCAUUCAAAAUCUUGUUUAUCAACACAACAACUUAAGUACAUACAUACACAGACGUAUACAUAGAGAGAGAGAGAGAGAGAGAGAGAGAUGGAGAUAAAGCAAGCUACCAGUUUAUCACCAAAAGGAAAGUCUGAAAGGUAGAAGCUGCGCGGAGCUUGUUGAGUUUGAGAUGAAGCAAUAGCAAACGAAAGAACUCGAACCACACACUAGAAACUUUUAACAAAAACAAAACAGGUGUGCUUUUUCCAAAGGAAGCACCACAGCCUCACAAAAUACAGAGGUAUUUUCCUCUCCAACACUACUGCAAGAGCAAACAAACAAAAACAAAAAGGAAAGAAUAAAGAAAAAAGAAGGUGGGAAAAAAAAGGAAACCCACAUAUGAAAUAUUUAACACCACCCUCCCGGCAAAAAAAGAGAGAGAGAGAGAGAGAGAGAGAAAAUCCUUCCUCACACAAAAUUCAGGCCCUGCGGGUUGAGGAUGUACUUGACCUAUUGCAUUGCCAUGAAAUGUCCGUAUUUUCAUUAAAAUUGUACAGUACUCCCAAUAUAUAUAUAUAUAUAUAUAUAUUGAAUACUAAUAAGUAGUAAUAAGCAAGCAUAACUAGAUUUGGUUGUCCGUUGGUUUAUUCUUUGUUUUGGAAAUCCUAGGGACCACUUGUUAUCUGCAAUGCCACUGACUCCUGAUUCAGUUUCAUCACGUAUACGUGGCUGAUUCGCAUCCUCAAACUCCCUGAAAUGGGAAAGGGGGGUAAUAGUGUAAAUUCACUGAACACUCUUGUGGAAUGUGGACCUAGCGUCGUCUGAAAUGGAUUCUUAUUAAAGUAGGAGUAAAAGAGAAUUACUCCUACUCAAGAUGUGAGCAGAGAACAGUCCCAGAUGUAUCUCCAAUUUCCAAUGACCGAUUCUCACUAAGUCCUCCUGUACUAAUAAGUUAAACCAUUUGACUGAUGAACCCAUUUUUUUAUUAUAAACUAAUAGCAGGAGUAUACCAUAAUCAUAUCUUUUCUCAAACUGAAUUAAGUAAUUUAACAAUCCCAUUAAAGCUAAUCCCCUCCUGUUCAUCACCAUUAAAGUUCAAACUGAGAACGAAAUUAAGCGGAAACGUCACAUCUAUUCUAACAAUAUGUUAUUAUGCAAACACAGGUAUAAUCUACUAGUAAUUAGAGAGCAAAUGAUUACAUUGAAUUGGAAAACGUACUAUUAAAAGAAAAAGGAGCAGUGCAACAAACCUUUACACCUGUAAGCCCGUCGUCACGAAGGUUCCUUUUUUGCUUCUUUUGCCUUUGUGAAAUCUUAAAAAACUUCCAAACCUAAACAACCGAGUUAAUUCUCGGUAACUCAAAAAAAGCGCACAAUCGCCUUUUCGUAACUGUUCAUAGAAAUCGAAACUUUAAGUUUUUUUUUUUCAAAAAAAAAGGAAAAAAAAUCUAGGUUUUAGGUUGAAGAAAACUAACCGCAGGUGAAAUUAUGAGCUCAAAGCACGAACGCUACAGCAUUGGAGCUCGUAACCGAGGUUGGAAGUUCAGAGUUCAGACCGUGUAAUGCUUCGAUUUUUUGUCGUUCAAUAUUGUAUUUACUCUAAUAUCGUGGAGCUUGUGAAGUUUCUCCUUUGUUUGUUUGUAGCGUGGGAUUGUGGUUCGGCGGCCGAGAGAGGCGGAGUGAAGGGCGGCGGAAAUGAGCAGCUUUUUUAAUAUGAUUAAUAUUUGAAUGGGGAUUGAUUAUUAUUUAUUGUUGGUAGAUGAGAAAUGUGAUUACAUGGAGAUUAAUACUACUAAGUAAGACGUGGUCGCAGGAACUGCACGUAGUCUUCUGAGUAAUUAAUUAGUUUUUUUUUUGGUUGGGGUUUUCAAAAUGCUGCUUUCGAAGUUUACCAGAUAAGGAAAAGCAAGGAAAAAAACACGAAGCUCUUCUUGGACCUUUCCUUGCUGGUGAAACGCCCGGGGCUAAGAAAAUGGUACUAAUAAGUAUAGAUAAAUGAGUUUAAAAUAAACUAUUGGCAAGUAGGUUUGAACUUUGAAUAAUGAAAGCCAUUUGGUUUUAGGAUCCGAGUUUGUUAGCAUUAGUACUUGUGUCCGGGUUAGCAAAUUAUAUGGGAAAAAAAAAAACUCAUUAGAUUACGUUUUUCAAUCUCUUUUUUUUUUAAAAAAAAAAAAAAAUUCAAUCAUAUUUUCUAUCUCCCAUAUUCAUAAAAAGUGCUUCAAUAUUGAUUUAAUAAACUGAUCUACAUAAUAUUAUAGAAAAUAUCAACUUGCCAGGAAGUUUAACAUAGGAUAAGAUUGUAUACUUCAUAGAAUCUCAAAUGUCAUCUUCAAGAUGACGAUUGCAACGUUCCUUUUUUUUUCGAAAACGACAACUAUUGUAUAACCUAUUAAUCCUAAAUUACAGGAGAGGAGGAGGCUAAAGAGAUUUUGUGUUAAGGAUUGGUAGAUACACAGACCUAGUAAGACGAUUGCAACCUUCCAAGGACCAGAAAAAUAAAAAAUGGGAAACUUUGGUACUUUUAUCAAAGAUGUGGGUGCGACUUGUAAACUAUUGCCCAAAAUAGGAAAGGGCAUGCUAAAAACAGCUAAAGUUGGAAUUUGGGUCUGAUCUUGGCGGGAUUCUAUGUGUAAUUCUUGUGUUGCACUAAGUGGGAGCUUUGCCCUCUGAUCAGGUGGUUGAUUCUGAACUUGGGAUUCAAGCCUGGAACAGUCUAAAGAUGCAGUUUUAUGGAAUACCAGACUGAUAUUAUGGAAGCCAUUGUAGAUGAAGUGAACAACACUUGCAAAUUUGGCAAGAAAAGGCUUUCCUUUUGUCUCAGGUAGCAGAUUCAACUUGGCAUUGCAGCAAGGACUAUCUAUUUCAGUUUGUAUUACCAGCAGAACUCGAUUCAGAUUUUGGACCAGCCAAACGAGCAAAUUCACCUUUGUGGAAGCUGCAUGUUUGCCCCUAAUAAGUCUGCUGUAUCAAUGCAUAUGCUUCCUGCAAUAUUCACAUCCGAGCAUCUUGGAAAAUUCUGGGCUACAAGCCAUAAAGUUCAAUUUAAAACUGACAAUCAAGCUCUAUAAAAAUGGCCGAUACUAUUCGCAUGCAGAGUUUGUUGAGCUACAAUAAAAUGCUUAUGACAGCUUAAGCAGGAGUGAGGGAACUACAACAUUUCCUAUUUAAUUCUUCUACAUCUGGCCGGCCAAACAACGGCCCCCAGCCAUAUUCGUGGAACUACCCCUAUACAGCUCCUCCCACUUAGCCAGAAUAUCUCAAUUGUACAACAGAGAGUGGCCUCUUCCCUUCCUUUUUGCAGUAUAGUUUGCCUAAUAACAACUCAUCGGCCAGAAACAAAUAGUGAAUUAAUUGAUAACUGGUUUCCAUCAGCCUGAGAUUUUCGUAAUUUUGCCUUGUCCAAGCGUGCUCGUCUUACAGCUUCUUGAACUUGGCGAUCAUGAUCUUUCAUCAUCUGGUCCAUUUUGCCUGAUGGUACUAUUAUCGGUCCUGAAUAGUGGAUUUUAUUGCCCUUUGACCCGUACCCAAUCUAAAUAGAGAAAGCAAGUAAGUCUUGAGCACAUGAAUACAUCAACAUCAAGAACUUUAUUUAUGAACAGCGCUAACAAAUUAGAGGUUCCGCAUUUUAUGACGAUAAAGGAUGCGAUAGUGGCAAUUAAAAACUAUCAUGUCAGCAGAGUUCUUACCAGAACGGGAUCGUUAUUGCUGGUUCUUCCAUCCUCAUUUUGAUAAGAUCCUGUGACCACUUGAUUCUUUUGAUCUUGCUUCAUUGAGGAAUUCGAUGUCUCCUUGAAAGAUCCGGGAAAUCUUGCAAUAAGUUUGGGAACUUCCUGCUGAGAAGGACCAGACUUCUCACUGCGUUCCUCAGAGAGCACACUCCUCCUUGCAGCAACUAAACCAGACAUUGCAGACAAGUCAGCUCCAUUUGAAAUCUUUGGAGCAUCUUCCAUAUUCUUUCCAGCUUUUGCCCAGGCAGCCCGGUGUACCAGUGGGCCAGAAUGGGAACCCCUCUUAUGGAGAUUGCCCUGGGGAUCAUUGCUUGCUUCAUCAACAGCCUGGGAUGGUCUAGGUGGGUCAAUUGGAAAACCAGAAGCAACUUCUUCCUGAUGAGAGUUGAACAUCUCACUUCUGCUCUUGGAAUUGGACUGACCUUGUCUUUUCUGGGUUCAGAAAUUCACCACAUAAAUUUUGGGCUUGCCCUUACAGAAAAUGCAGGAGGUCCUCCUUUAAAAACAUUACAACAGUUGUUACCUGCAUUGAAAGGACUAAUUCAGCAUUGGCAUCAGGUGCUGGAACAGCACGAGAUUCUCUUGUCCCUUUCCGUUCUUGAUCAUACCUGUGACCCUUGCUUCCUGCUGCCGCAUGUCUGUAUACAACAUAAAACAAAGUUAGCUACUGAGUCACCACUUUCACCAUUUAGAAAUUUGUUAAAGCAUAAACAAGACAGCAUGGCACUUUGUGCUAAUAAAAACUCAAAAUUCAGCAUUGAUAUUAAUAACAUAAAAAUACAAUAUUAAUUGAUCUUAAUCGUUCAAUUUACCUUCUAGCUUCUUCAUCCCGAACUUUCGCAUCAAACUCUUUACUGGGAGGAUACUUUGGCAAGCUCGAAGGAUCACAAGGAAGUGGUUUUGUUAUGAAGAACUGCAAAACCAAAUUAGACAGGUUAAGCAAAAAUUUCAACAAUUAAAUAUUUGGAAAUUUCUUUGACAAGUCAUUAUAAGCUAAUGAAUUGGUGAUGGAAUUGUUGAUGCAAGUCCAUGAAAUCUAUCAUAACUAUUACUGAUGGAAUGGGUACACAGUAUAAUGAAGUAAUAUCAUGGAUUCCAUUGGACGCAUUCAGUGAAUUACAUAUAAAAAUGCAUAACAUGGUUCAUAACAGUAAGUUAUGAUACUAAAUUUCAUCCAAUUGAUAGGAUUGAGAAACGAGAAAUAGAAUUUAUUGGGAUAGUAGAUAGCCAAGCCUUCAGUGGGCCUUUUUUUUGGAGAAAAUACGUAGAUGUGCUGUUUUUUUUUUAACCAAAACUUGCAAAAACAUGAGCAGAGAUGGAGAUCAUAUGCAAAUAAUCAACACACUUUCAAACUUUAAUAUGCAAAUAACACCAUGUUGCAGGUCUUGCUGUUACUCAAUGGUAUUAUUAUUCUACAUUGAGCGCUGGCGAGGAAUUCUACAAAGCUCCAUAACAUUUACAGUUAAUUCCUAUAAUCUCCUAUUAACCUCCUUUAAGUUGUUAAUUAGAAGUUUCUGGUUUUCCCGAGGUCCUUCAUUGAUCUUCCAUGCUCUCUUCUCUUUCAGUCUUUGCUGGAAAGAGAGGGCAACCUUGCAUCAAUAGUUUGUAAAAAGCUUCAUACCUCACUCUGGAGAGCAGAAGAUGCGGAUCCACGAUCAGCAGGAUCUAUAGAUAGUAGAACCUCCAUUAAAGCUAAUGCUGGUGCAGGAAAGUCUUUAAAUGUAUCUGCAACACAACGUUUAUAAGGUUGCUGGGGCUUAAAAAUAGUUGCAUGAGGUAACUUCGACUUUCUCCAGUACUCCUCAGAGGGUGAACCGCAAAGCUUGAAGAUUUUGUGUAACUGCUCAACCUACAAGGAUUGAAGCAAAUAUCUGCUCAAAUAUGCCCAGGAGGGGCCAAGGCAAAAACCAUAAGAUGAAAACACAAGUUAAAAGGUUAAAAAUACAAAAUUUUAUGACUAACUAUUGUCAAUUUCACUAACAGAUUGGUUCAAGAGAGCAACUUGUCAUUUAGUUUUCUCAUAAAGCUUCUUUUAUAUGAGAAUAUAAACAUUCCACCUUUCUUUUUUUCUUGUUUUGCAGUGAGGGAGAGAGAACCAAUGCUCACAAAAGAGAACUCUAUACCCUAUUUCCAAAGGGGCUUGUUUCAUAUCUGGAUAUUGGUCCUAUAUAUUAGGCAUAAGCAGAAUAACAAAUUAACAUACCUCUGUUCGUCCGGGCAUGAUAGGCUUGCCAGCAUAAAGUUCAGCAAGAAUACAACCAGUACUCCACAAAUCCACAGCAGAGCCAUAAUAAGUAGCCCCAAGUAGAAGUUCAGGUGGCCGGUACCAGAGAGUCACAACACGGCUUGUCAAGGGCUGGCUCUGAUGAGGAUCAAAGAAACUUGCCAGACCAAAGUCAGCUAUUUUCAGUAUGCCAUUAUUGUCAAUUAAAAGAUUGGAACCCUUUAUAUCUCGAUGCAGAACACCAUGCCUGUGACAGUGAUCGAGCCCACGUAGAAGCUGCUGCAUGUAACACUUAACCUAAAAAUAUAUAAACCAGACACUAUAUUAUCCCAAGCAUCCAAGUGGAGCAAACAGAAUAAUGUGCAGUUUUACUUGGGAAUUAUGAUGACCCUUAUGUCAUUCCCUUGUCUAGUGCUCAUAUAGCACAGAUAUGUCUCAUUCAGAUGUAAAAAGAUGCCGUUACUAUAUCGGAAGAUCUGAAUAAGAGUAACAAUUAUUUAUCAAGAUAGGGGAAAAAUAAAAUAGCAAUGCUACAAUAUAAGAGAAGAUUUUGAGUCACAAUUUGAAGCUCAAUGUCAAUACCUGUGGUUCAGUGAAUUUUAGCCCUGGGUGUGAUGCAAGACCCGCUAGGUCAUGCUCCAUGUACUCAAAAACAAGGUACAAGCUGCAAGACAUCCGGGAUGUAACUAGACCUUCCAACUUGAUUAUAUUAGGAUGAUCAAGCCUGCGAAGAAUGUGAAUUUCCCUAGCCAUGAAACGAACACUCUCAGGCUCCAGAUUGUCAAACCUUACCUUCUUCAAAGCCACAAUCUUGCCUUGAUCAAGAUCUCGAGCACGAUAAACAUUGCUAUAAGUUCCCUGGCCAAUCUACAUAAAUAGAAAAACAAUCAAUAUCCAGACUACCAAUUAGUAUCACUGACUAACACAAAAGAAGAGGGAUAGAUCCCAAUUUUUAAGAUAUUCAUUUUAGUAUAUAAAGGGACUGCAGCUUACUCAAUUUAGCAAAAUUCAGUAUCAGUAGAUAUUUUUCCCUCUUCUAUUUCUCUUGUUUCCUUUUGAUGGGAUAAGUGCAGCAACAGUAGAAUCAAUAAAUGCUUGAACUUAAGGUAAAAAUAAAGAGGUAAUAUCAUCUUCACAGUGUAAAGAUUAUGAGAUAAUCUGCAGCUUAUGUCAGCAAGCAUAUACACCUAGCAGAUGGGCCAUUAUUUCACUUGUCUUGUACUAAAAGAUUAACCAAACUUCCAAAACAAAUGUUUCCAAUAAAUUGGCAGUCCUUAAGAUUUGUCAGUUAAAACUGAAGAAAGACAACUUUUUAAUCAAAGGUACAGUCAAAAGGUAAGAAUCUUAAAGCUUGCCAAUGGCAAAUAUAAAAAAGGAAUGAUCUACUACAUUUCAGCCUUCUUUUUUACGUUUAUCUUUCUGUCAUUAGUCAGUCACUUCUUUCCUUCAGAUUCUUAAUUUUCUACAAUGAUCUAAAUCAUUGCCAAAUCUACCAAUUUGUUUUGAUAGAUUAUGCUUAUGCUGCUCUUUAAGUUCUUACAGCAAUUUCACAAAAGACAACUUGAUAGAGCACUAACUAUAAAGUAUGAUUUCCAUGUCUAAAGUCCAGUAACUAUAAAUGCCACACACAAGGACCAGGUGAAGUGUUGGAGACAGAACUAUGCAAAAAGAAGAUAACCUAUUUUAAUAUCGAUUGUUCAUGCACCUAAGAAUGUGUCUUGCCAUGGGACACCAAAAUAAAAUUUAACUCAACAAAAUCACAAUUCCAGAUUCGGUCAAAUAAGAUAUAUUAAUUCCUAGGGUCAAAAUUUGUUAACGAAAAGUAAAAGCUAUGUGGCCUAAACUAGACCACAAAUAUAGUAAAGAACAGAAUAUAAGAAGAAAGUGAAGUACAUAUUUGAACAAUAUCACAUGCUCAUUGAUGCAGAGAAAGCAAUGAAUGAAUGGGGGUCUUAUAGCAAGUAGCCGCCGGAAAAAUUAAAUGAUUCGACGCCAGGGGAGAGCAGAUAAAUUGUCAGGAACAUUAUGCACAUUCAGCCAUUUCAAGAAAAUACAAACUAUUUGGUCAGCAAAAGCAAUUCACAACUGCUAUGAGUAGAAUUAGCACUUUUUUAAAUUGUGAACAUACCAAUUUCUCAUAGCACCCAUCAAAGUCAAAUUUUUUAUUGCCUGGUAAGUACAAACCCUGGUUUAGGCUAAUCACUUCAAAAUUUGGAGAAUUUUUUGCAAGCUACACCUGUCUAGGAAGCAUGAGCAUUUUUAAGAGGGCAACGUAGUAUAGACACACAUCAGACUACUUUGUUCCUUAGUAUAAAGGAACAAGGCAUGGAAAAUGAUAAGCUUGUUACCAAGCAGGUCUAUUACUCUGUUAGGGUUAAAGCUGGAGAUGGGCCAUCUGAUUCUGAAUUUUAAGCGGCUGGAUCAAUAACCAUCUUAUUAUCUGUUCAUAUGACGGUGUAAAUUACUCUGUUAUCAAACUAAUAAGCACUCAAUCUGAUAUAGCCAAAUUGGAUUUUAACUUCUAUCAACACUGACUUAUAGCAAGCGAAAUAACAAAUAAAAGACAUGCAAAGAUUAAAUGCAACUGAUUUACUCAUUUCUCAAACCAUAUUACUGGAUAAUCCCAAAACUUGGUGCAACAAAGAAGCGUACUUUAUCCAACUUCUCAAAAGAAUCAGCACGCCUAGGCACCCAUCCUCUGAUAGCUUCACCAGCCACAGCAGCUAACCAGGGUGGCCAACCAGCAGCAACCUGCUCCCCUUCUGUAGCUCUUGGCAUUCUGCCCACUCCAGGAUGGCCAGAGGCUGUAACAAUAUACUCAGUCUUCUCCCUUUUCCUCUCAAUAUUCUCACCAUGCAACCUGGCUGAACCAUUAAUUUGCUUGUCAAUCAAAACUACCCUCCCUUCAUUAUUCUCCAGCCGAUCUUUCACUCUAUACCCUUCUUCUCUUCUGGAAGAAACUGCCCUCGGGACUCUCAAAUCUGAAGAUGUCUUACUGGAUAGCCUCUCCCUUGGACUCUCCCUACUAUCCUCAAUGGCAGAGGGCUUACAGCAGGCACACCCCAUUUCACUCCCUAAAAAUACACAAACCCACAAAAAGAACCUACCUCCCAAAUCACAUCUUUGCACCAAAUACACCAAUACCCACCCACAUUAACUCCUCUUCUUCCAUUGUCUCCUUCAAAAUCCAGAAUCACCCCAAGAAACCAACUUUAUCGGAAAUUUCAACUCAAACUAAGUCUGUCACACGCAUCACCGAUAUUUCUCAUAAAACCCAAGUCAGAAACUAACCAAAAAACAUGCCAUUCGGCUUAUAUAACAUAACAACCAUAAAAAUCAGUCAAUUUUGCAAGAAAACUGAAAUGGGCUCAGCUCAAAGUACCUUCAAAUUGAUAUCUGGCGAGUGUAGCAGAAAUUAAGUGAAAUUGCAAUACAGAAAAGGAGUAUGGAGAGUUUGGUAAGGGGAAAAGUAAGGGUGGAUCUAGGGCAAUUGUAUUGUGCAGUAGUAACUGGAAUGUACAGAGUGAAGGGGGGAGAGAAAACAGAUUAGUAGAGUAGUACUGUAGUAAUUUGUGAGGGAGUUAAAAAUAUUUGUGGUACAAAUGUGUGUCUGUUACUGUUAUAAUAGUGAGAAUUUAUAUAUUUCUGACGGCCGAGGCAGCUUUUUAUUAAACCUUUCAGGGAAAGGAGAAAGAUGAGAGAGAGAGAGACAGACGGAGAGAGAGCUAGCAGUAGUCGUGAUGGGUUCCAUUGGCGACAUUCUUCUUCCCAGGUCUCACUACAACCACGCGCAGCGUUGUGUGUGAUUGGUUGUGUUUUAUGGCGUGCACUAAUCCAUGAUUGUACCAUAAUGCUGGCAGUUAUGCUGCUCCUUUUACAAUACACUUCCCUUUUUUUUCCCCAAUAAUUUCAUAUGGGAAGGGAAGAAACAUCAAGAAAGUUACGUGAAGGUAAACUGCAAGUAAAGCUGUUGCUUGAAAGCUUGGUUUAGCUCGACUCGACGAGACUCGAGUUUGACUCGUUAAUUGUGGUAAACGAGUCAAGUUCGAACUCGAAAUAUGUUCGUUUAAUUAACAAGUCGAGUAAGUUCGACUCGUCUGUUAUUCGAGUAGCUUGAUUAGACUCGAUAACAAAUGGUAUAUAUGUCAUUUCAUAAUUUAAAAAUAUAAAAAUUGAAAAUUGUAGAUUCAUACAAGCUCGACUCGUUUGUAAUAAACAAGUUGAGUUCGAACUCGAAUUCGAGUCACAUGUCCUAUUUGGCGAGUCGAGUCCAAAUAUUUUUCAAAGCUCGUCCGCCUAAUCAAGCGAGUUCGAGCUUGACUCGAGUUAAACUUGAGUCGAACCAAGCUCGAUAGGUAAAUACUCGAUUCGAUUAACAACACUAAUUGCGAGAAAGUGAUGUAUAGGAAAUGAAAGUUACCUUAAAAAGAAAGUGAUAAUUUAUAUAUUUUUUAAAGCCCUGGCAUCUGUCUCCACAUCUUUUUCACUCGUAAGCACAAAAUUUUAAGAGUUAUUGAAAAUUAGUGAUAAUUAUAUCAAUAGUUAGUAAUGACUAUUUUGAAUGAAAAAUUCUAUAUUAAAAACAAACUAUCCCGUUUGGAUUGUUUUUUUCGUCAUUUUUCAUGGAAAAAUUACUGUAGCGAUUUGAUGUAUGUGAGGGAAAAAGGUAAUAGGGAAAUGUGAUCACGGAAAACGACGUAAUUUUUCGACGAAAAACAGCAAUCCAAACAAGGUCCUUCAUUUUGAAAAAUUUUACAUGUAUAUUUAUCGUUUUAAAAAUGUCUGAUUUAAAAUCAAAGUCGUUCUUUAUGAGUGGAGUCAUUCUGAAUAAUGUGUCAAAAAUAGUUUCUUGCAAAAUCAAAAUCAUGAGGGGCAUUGCAGGACUCGUAUUGGAAAGUGUAGAAAAUGUGAUAAAUUUUUCUAAAUUCCAAAACAUGCAAAAAAGAAAAGUAAGCAGACAUUAGGAAAUCCAGCCAUAGGAAAGACGUCAGAUUUGGUUAACGGAGAUGUCAAAGUGAGAAUCAUCAUCAUCACCACCAGUUGUACUUGUAUCAAAACAGGAAGGAGAAUGGAGAGAUAGCAGGAAGAAAGAUCUCUCAUCGUAUGGUCACUUGUUUAGAAGAGUGCUCGCUGUUUUGUAUACUUAACUGCUGUAAACUCUGUCAGAUAGAGACAUUUGGCAUUUCAUAAACCUAUGAGCAAAUUUGGCGGUUUGAAAGGAGAAUCACCGGCGGAGUUAAUUCUCAUGCAUGUUUUCUCUAUAAUUAUUAAUAUUGAAAAAAGAAAAAAGAACGCAGUGGAAAAUCACUAGUGAGGUGAAUCUCGGGAUAAGUAAUUUCUUCGAGUGAUUUAACUAAAAAUUAAUGGAAUGGAAUGAAGAAGAUUUAUUAUUAAUCGUUUCAACUAAAAAUGCCUCGUCUAUUCCCUGGCCAGGCAUGUGGUUGAACACUGCCGGCAAAAUUCACGUCCCCGGGGCCGGACCACUCCACCGGUCGAAGACCAAUCGAUUGGAAUUGAUUAGCCAAUUUAUUAUUUGUUGGGCUCCACGUUCUGCGCUGCUGCUCCAGAGCUACCCCAGUCUGGUUGACUCGAGCCCUCUCAUCUAGAUUUACGACUCAAAAAAAAAAAUUUUUUUUUUUAACACCAUUUAUGCUGUUUUAUCUUUGUUGCAUCAAAUAAAAUUCUUCACUCUAGUGAUUUUUAGCAGUGACAACCAGUCAAAAGAUAUUCAUUUGGAAAGGGUUAUUAUUUGAAAAUAUAUAUUAUUCACAAAACGCAUUUUUUUCAAUCUUUUUUUCUCAUAUAUAUAUAUAUAUCACAUUAUUAGUGAUUUGAUUUUUUAUGUGAGAGUUUUUUUAAAUUAUGAGAAUUGUUUUACGAAACCGAGAGAGAGAGAGACAGAGAAAAAGAACUACGUACAAGGUAGGCAAAUGCAUGCUGUAGGCGCGUGCAUUGAACAUUAGUUCGGUCACUGUUUCUGCAUGAAGAAGAAAGUAGUGCUACUUUGCUAGUAAUAAUAGCAGAAUAGAAAGGUUGAUGCUGUAUUUUUAUUCUUAGCUUUAUUGAUAUGGACUCGUCCCUAAAUAGGGUUAAUUACAUUUACCUCCCUUGAGAUUUAUCCAAACGACAAAUCAAUCCUUAGAGUUUGAUAAAAUUACAAAACGGUCCACCAAACUCAAUGAUCCAUAACAAGUAGAGCCUUCCGGUUAGUCAAUUAAUGUUCGACCACUCAUCACCAGGCAAGCCAGCAGAAAAAUGCAACUGAAUUCCUAAUUUUGCCCGUCAAUGUUGUAUUGUUCCCCUUUUUCUUCCUCUUUCCAUUUUGUUUUUAUAUUGAAAAUCUAUCAUCACCCCAAAAAGCGUUGGAGACAUUGCAAAUUUACAAUUGCUUCAAACCGAUAUUGAUACCAUUUUUCACAUAUAACUCAAAACUGCCAACAAACACCAUUUUUUCUUUAGUUUUCAAUCAAAUUUGGAACAAGAGCGCCUAAAAGAUACUACAACUUGCAUGGAACAGUUUGUCAUAUCCAUCAAUUUGAAAAUAUAGUGAUUGAACAAUUCCGAUAGAAUAAAGCGAAGGUUCAAGGAAAAAUACAAAAUAAAAAAUAAACAUCAACCACAAACAUGAACAAAAGAAAGUAAACUGUCAAUAGAAAUCUCGAAAAAGUAAAAUUAACCAAAAACAUGUAUAGACCUAUCAAUUUUGACACCCAAGAGUAAAUUGCCAAUAGAGGUUGAUACAUUAAGUCAUGGGAUAUCAAGUUUUGAGCAAAUCCAGUUUGAUGUACUAUUCAUGCAGCUUUAAUUUCAUGUGAAGACAAUAGAGAAAUAGUGAGGAAAGAGGAAGAAAGAGAUGGUGGCUUGCUUGGUUAUGGUGAACUUGGUGAAGUAUAUAAGAAGGAUAGUACUCGUGAAAAAUGAAGAGAUUUAUGAUGGAAUAUCUAUUUUUCUUUUUUUCUUUUUUGAAGAUUUUCCCUAUCAAUUCAAACUAUUAACAAAGAGAUUUUCUUCUUCCUUUCCUUCACUCUCAAAUCUUGAACUGACGCCAAAGGGGAAGCAUCUACAUUUUUCACUUGUUUGGGAUUUCUAAUCCUUGGGGAAAAAAACUUUGUGCAUUUUUUCACUUAUUUGCAAUUGAAAUUGUGUUAUUUGAUUUCCAAACAUUCACGAGAAAGAUUAAUAGUAGUUGACACCUUCAUUAUUUUUUCUUUUGCAUAAACUUUACUGAAUAAUGGAUCUAAGAAUUUUAUUUUUAUUUUUUUUAACCUUCGAUGCAUUUAGAUUAAGGGAAAUAUUGUCAUUUUAUAAUUUCUGUCAAUAGGGUAUUAACGGAGUUAGUGACAAGGGAGGUAGAUGUGAUUUGGUGAAACCUUGAGGAUUGAUUCAUAAUUUGGAUAAACCUUAGGGGAGGUAAAUAUAGUUAGACCCUCAUAAAUAUCGUUCGGUGAACGAAUUAGUAGCCCGGGCAACAAUGGAAUGCUAUUACCUUUUUAAGCGGAGCAGAGCCCUCUCUCUCUCUCUCUCUCUCUCUUCCGUUUUGGAUUUUUUUGUUUGGUGUUUGAUCACAUUUUCUGCAAGAUCAAUCAUAUAGAAAUCGACUAUCUGAUCUGAUGGUAAUUAAUGUCAUAAAACUAAUGAUAUGUGUAUAUAUAUAUACAUACGUUUUUUUGUUUACAUGACUGAUAUUGGAAAGUAAUUUCGAACCUCUUUCUUAUUCUAUAUUUCGCAAAAAGGAACAUACAAAUAAUUUCAUUGAGGACAGAUUAUUCUCCAAAUAAAAGGCGAACAAUUAAUGACCAUGCAAAAUUUUUCCAGAUGAUAAAAUAAUGGAAAACAAAUAGGACCUUCAUCCGCUGUUUGAUGGCGAUCGGACUCGAUAAUCUAGUCAGCCUGCUGUUGUAUCGGAUAAGGAAUUAGAAUUGCGGUUGAGGCCUGGAAAUGCUUUGAUCCCGUGAUAGAAGCAUUAAUUUUUGCCAUUCGUUUAGCUUCAAAUGCAAUGCUGGACUUUUAUUUCUAAUAUUCUUAUGUGAUUUUGAGGUGCCAUGACUCGGAGGGUACCUGUAAAAACACACGUGUAUCCUCGUACAAUAUAAGAAUGAGUUGUGGUUGAAGGGAGAUUUGAAUUUCAACCGCAUGGAUAGGAUUUUUUUUUGGAAAUAUGGAAUAUUUUUUGUUAUUGUUUAAAAACUUUUGGUACAAUUGAGGAUAUCAUAUGUUUAGAUAUAUUUACCAAAAUAUUAUCAUUUUGGUACAUUUAAAGUUUUGAUUUAUGAAGACAUUUGGGUAUUUCUGAAAUAUAUUUAUUUUGUAACUGUUUUUUGCAUCGAGUACAACCUAUAUAAACUUAUGUGUUGGUAUAAUUACUGAAACGGUGUUAUAGACACAUUUAAUUGAAAUGUGUUUUUGUCGUGCAAUUAACACAAAGAAACAUCAACACGUUGCUAUAACUAGCCAUUGAAGGGUAUUCCUUUGUCCGAAACAACUUAUAUAUUUUCUUGAGUGAUUUUCAUUUGACAUCUGUACGCGUCUUUUAGAAAUGAUAAAAUUGUAAAAGCAUUGAUAAAAUAAAGUGGACAAGUGUGUGUUGCGAUUAGAAUGUACUAUUAUUAACAUUUGAUGACUAUUUUUUUUUUCAAAAUAUACUAUUAUUUGUUUAAUAAAAAAUUUUCUUUAAUUACAAGUAUCAAACACCCCUGCGAUGCGCGGGCACUCCCCUCUAGUAUUAUGUUUAGACUCACAACCUGAUUUAUCCCAACGAAAGGACAUUUAUCGAAACUAAAGUCCAAUGCGGGAAAAAAGGUGCAUUGAGCAUUCUCGACGUUGUGUUGGAAAACUAUUGAAUGCUAGUAGUACUGCAAGCACCUGCUUGAACUAUUACUACUGUAUUUAGUCAGUUUACGAGAGCACCAGUACGCUAGUAGUGUUUUUUCUAGUUUUCCAAUUGUGUCGCCGCAGCCAUAUUACAUUCUACUGGAAAAUGUUUGCCAAGAACAAAUAUAUGUAUAUAUAUAUAUAUACAUCAAAGAUAAGAUACACAUUCUACUGGACCAUUUUUGUGUCCUUGACUGACUUUGGGAGGUUACAAUAAAGCUUCGAGAAUAUAACAAGGGUGAAAACAUAGAUUAGACCACGCUUUCUAAAAAUACAGAAGCAGAACAAGGGUAGGGGGAGACGAUGGUGGACAUGGGUGAAAGGACCUUGGAAGAGAGAGUGGAAAAAUCCCAACCAAUUGUGUCCAUAUCCAUUAAAUUAUUUGACAGUUAUCCACAUAAUGAAGCACGCAUGAGAUUUAAAGCCCUGCCCUCGUUUUCGGGGACACUGGAACGAGGGAGCUUCCAGGACCAUCGACUUCCAAUUUAGGAUUUGGUUCUGCCUUUUAUUAGGUUGGCCCUACGCUUGCUUUAUGCAUGCACGUCCCCUCAUCUAUACGACUACGUACGUAUUAGGUGAGCAUCCAACAAUGUGUUUAUACAGUAGUUGUAUGUUCUAAUUGCUUCUCCUUUUUUAUUUUUUGUGGUUCUAACUGCUUUUCGUAUCAUAAUCCAAUCCAAUGGUGUGUGUGAUAUAAUUGAAAUCUAAAUCUAUUAAAUUAUUGAAUUGUUAAGUUCUAAAUCCGAUACAUUUUGAGUGUUUGUUACUUUAAAUGAUAAGUGAAUAAUUUAUUACUUAUUUUUAAGAACAAAUUUUGCCUAAAAAAUUCAGUACUACUCAAUUAAUUCAGACAGUUAAUUUUUUAUUUUCAAACGCAUUUCAAUAUAUUAAGAUCUGAAUCCAUUAAAUUUAAAUAUUGAAUUGAGUUAUUAAAUAAGCCCUAAAUCAUCUUGCUCAAUUACGUGUGACUUAGAAGUUGUACCUUUUUUUUUUUUAGCUCAUUAUGGCAAAAUACUCCACGUGUAAAUUCUUUAGCUAUAUUUUUAUUAGAUGAACAAAAAGAGAAGAGAAAAGGCCCCAAAACUACAAUCUUUGGCAUGCUCCUGGCAAUAAAUUAUAAUAGAUAGUGGGGUUUGGGGGGGGGGGGGGGUUUAAUCUUCAUCCUUUACCCUAAAAGAGUGGGGGCGCGAAAGCAGCUUUGUCAAACUAGUGAAGGGGGAGCGCAAAUAUCAUCAAGUACAUCUCACGGUUCAAAAAUGAAGCCAUAAAGCUCCUUUAUAUACAUGACAAUCCCACUAAUCAAAUAGAGAUUACAUCCUCUAUUUCAUCAUGCAUUAACUCUCUAUCCCACAUUUUGCUUUAUCCUCUAUUUUUGUUGCACCAUAAUUAAGCUAAAACACCCUGUUUUGUUUCAUCAUAUGCCAUGCUUUAUUGUUAGAAGUAGGGAGAAUCAUAUAUAUAUAUAUAUAUAUAUAUAUAUAUAUAUAUAUUCAAAAAAAGGAUCUGGACCCACUUCAGGUCCCAACCCUUAUUUAGAUUGGUGGAUUUUUUCCUAUUUUUGUGACAGUGAUCGAACUCUGGUGGAUGCUCUAACUAGAGGCUACACCACCAGGUCGGUUACCCUGGAGGGUUUAGGGAGAAUCAUAUAUGAGAACAAUAAAAAUUGAUAUUAUCGAAUUAAUAAGACUCGACCUAACCAACAUUUGAUCCAAAAUUGAUAUCAAUCUUUUUUAUUAUCAAAAGUUUUAAUUAAAUGUCCAAACACACACACACAUGUAUAUAUACACAUGUAGGUAAAUGUGUGUUGAUUGAUAUGUACGUAGGAUUAUAAAGGAUUUAUUAAGUUUUUUUUUUUUUUUUGGAACAUCAAUUCUUAAAACCAAAGUUACACACACGCACAAAACGAAAAAGAUUUCCAACGAAGGCAGGGAUGGAAAUUGAACUUGGAAUAGAAUCAAAAAAAGAAAUUGAACUAGCAAUUUUCACCAAGAUGGUAGAUAACUUUUUAGCCACCUAAUUUUGCAGAAAGAAAUAGUAACAAAUACCUUCGGGUUUUAUUGUUUGUAUAAUACGGUAGUGCUUUCAAAAGUGGUGGCAAACGCCCUUGUGUAUUUUAACCUAACAUAAUAAACAGAGUAAUGUUUAAAAAAAAAAAAAUACGCUUUUUGUUUCGUCUACCAGUUCGGUGAAAAUUUUAAAAGAAAACUGUAGCUUUCAGAAACACGGCCAGGAAAAAAAAACACUCUCAAAUUCUCUACUAGUAAGAUAAAAUACUGCAUUUACCGCGAUAGAUAGCUCCAAAUCAGAGCCCUCAAAUUUGUUUUCAGCAAUCCCAGAAUAUAGAAUCUGGUUUUGAAGGCGAGACCGUUGUAACCUUUGUCUUAUCUGAUUCAAAUUAAUUUGGCUUUAUUUAUCUUAUUGAUUUGAUUUAAUCUGAGUUCGUAAUUUUGAAUUGAUCCAUUGGGUUCGAAUUCAAUUUUUUUGGGAACUUUUAUUUAUGUCGUUAGUCCGAACUUUAUGGAGUUUGAUUAGGAAAAACUCAAUUUGCGUUUUUGCUGUCCUAAUUAUAGUGCUGCGUUUUAUGGGUUAUGAAUUUUGGGUUUCUUUGUUUUGUUCAAUGGCAGGAAUUUUAAUCGAAGCAUAGGAAGCAGCAUUUAGCUGUUGUUCAUUCUGCUAGCGGGAUUUUCUUGUUACUGUGUGAUUGUUACGAGUUGGUUGAAAUUUUGGGAUUCUGUGGUGGUCAGUUUGAUACAUUGCUGAUUAAUUAGGAGGUGGUUUGGGUGUUCUUUUGGUCAUAAUUUAAGUGAAUGGGAAUUGCGAGGGAAGAAAGAGAUGAAGGCUAACAUCAAGUGGUCAGAGGUAAAAUGAACGAAGUGUCAUCGGGUCUUCGAAGUUUGAGUUUUGGAUCACUGCAGCUGCAUUCACAGAAUGGUGGGUUGCAGUCUCAGAAUUCAUCUACACUUCGCAAGACUUCAAGGACCUUGUCUGGUUCGAGGGAGAAGGAGAGGUAUCUGCCUUUCAUAUUCAAGUACUUAGGUCGAAGGAAGGUUAUAAUGCUGAUUUUGGUCAUUAUUGCAAUAUUGGCUCUUACCACAGGGUUUCUCACAGCCAGCAAAGGUUUGUUAUGCUUCCACUGCCUUUUCAUGUCAUUGUUUUUCUGUACUGUGGCAUGUAGAUUAUGUGGUAGAUCCUUUGUCAUAAAAGAGUAGUUUUUGAUUGUUCGGAUACAAUUGUGGCUUAAAUAAGUAGUGUCAAAUUAUUGGAAUUUUCAGUAAGCCUGCCUUGUGAGUUUGAAGAUGGCAAAUGAUUACUCACAAGCAUUAGAGAUUCAGUUAGCUGCUUUUAGCGAUAAUUAAAUCACUAGGAUGUCAACUCAUCCUAUUAGUGUUUCUCCUUCCAGAAUAUAUAGAAAUUUUCCAUAUAUCUUCAAGGAUGCCAAGUGAUGAUUGCUGUUUCCUUAAUAGGAACAAUGAAUUUCAAUCUGUGACUAGUAAUAGAUUACCCUUAGAAGAAGAGGUCUGGCACUUUAUUUACAACCUAUGCCUUUUCUGUAUUUUGUCUGUUUUCAUUUGCAUCGAGUGACUUACAAACUAUUUGCAUUUUUCAGAGGCUGCAUCAGAGAGCUCUAUGUUGGGCUUUGAUGGGUGGUUCGAAAACAGGACAUAUCCUGUGUCCAGAGAAGUUGAAGGGACUUCUGAGAAUGGUUCAAAUGUUAACAUCCAUGGUGUGUGCAGUACAAAUAAUGGCUCUUAUCUACCUACGGCUCAUAAUUCUACUGCAACAAUUGCUAUGCCAGCUCCUGUUAUGCUGAGCCAUCCAUGUAAAACUUUUGCAUUUCCGCCUCCCCCUCCUGGUGAUGCUAGACGGAUUGGACCACGCCGUAAGUUUGACAUGUUUUGGAUGCGUCUUUAUGCAUUAGUUGUUUCUCUACAUGGAUGAACUACCGGUGUAGUUAAAAUCUUCAUGGACAAGGCAUCUUGUAACUUCAACUUUUUUGCCAUAUUUUGUCUGGACAAUGACAAUUAAAUGCUUAUUGAGAACUUAUUGUAGUGUUUUCCUGCCUUUUUUUUACCAGCUUGUCCAGUAUGUUAUAUUCCUGUGGAGCAGGCUAUAGCUGCUUUGCCUAGAUCUGCAUCAGCAUCUCCUGUCCUUCAUCAUUUAACUUAUUUUUAUGAGGAAAACCCAAUGAAAACCGAACCUCAUGGAGGCUCUGACUUUGGUGGAUAUCCUUCUCUGAAGCAAAGAAACGACUAUUUUAAUGUAAACAAGUCAAUGACAGUGCAUUGUGGGUAAGUUUUACUCCUACACGUUAUGUUUCUCUGCGGUAAGUCAUUUUCCAGACGUAACAUAAUUAUCAUAUGGUUUCUAGCUACUAUUUUAGUCUUAUGUUUGUUUUAAUUACUCUUUUUAUGUUCAUCUUUAUCAGAUUUAUCAAAGGAUGUAGAGCUGGUGACAACACUGGAUUUGAUAUUGAUCUGGAUGAUCUUAAGGAGAUGGAUGAGUUCCAUGAAAUUAUUGUUGCAUCAGCUAUAUUUGGUACUGCAGAGCAUGAACUAAAUUUAUGGUUUUGGCCUUGUUUUGUUUAUACGUUUGCAUACUUUGAACCUUAAGGGUUGCUACCCUCCCUAAAUAUUUUCUCAGCUCUCUAUGUUUGUCUUCUCCAAGCUGCUAUUGAUUUUAGAAGCAUUUUUCUUUUCCCUUAAGCUAUUGAUGUUUACAGGAAAUUAUGAUAUCAUUCAACAGCCAACGGACAUCAGUGAAAUUGCAAAGAAAAAUAUACCCUUCUAUAUGUUUGUUGAUGAAGAAACAGAGGCAUACAUGAAGAAUUCUAGCCUCCUGGACAACAGCAAGAGGGUUGGCCUAUGGAGAAUUAUCGUUGUCCACAAUGUGCCUUAUACUGACCCCAGGCGUAAUGGCAAGGUUAGGAAAUACUGAUUGGUCCUUUUGCUUACAACUGUUUCCGUUUCUGUGGAAUAGAAAUGUUCUAUCACAUUGUGGAUUCACACAUUGUUUGAGUACAUGGUCAAAUUCUUCUUAAAACGCCAUCUGCAGGGCUGAACAUUCUUUCUCCUGUUUCCACUUCCAGAGAGCUUAAUUCACCAGGUUAUUAAGUGCCAGUGAAUCAUUUAAGAGAAGUGCAUACUAGGAAUAGAAAAUAGAACAGAGAAUUCAUGGAGUCUAAGACUCGUUGAGGAAGCCCGUCCUAUUUGUUGCAUCAGCUUCACUGGGGAGUUUGAAAGUAGUCAAUCUUGCUUUGAACAAAUAGAACAACAUGUGAAGAAAGAAGCAGUUAGAUAUAGUUUCUAAUUCUUUAGGCAUUUGUUAAUAUUUUUCACAUGCAACUGUCUAGAGAGAUGCUUGUCUUAGUAAAGCACUAAGCACAUCAUUUAAAAUCCUGAGGUCUUCGUUAUGGAGAUUUGUUACAUUGUGUUUCCAUUUUCUCUAGCUUCUGUGGAAAGCCACUACGUCGUAUAUGCUUUCUCUGAUGAGAAAAUAAUAGUUUAUGAAACUUGGAAGGGUAAAAUAUGAUAGGGGUACGUGCUUUUGACAGGUGCCAAAGCUUUUGUUGCAUAGGCUCUUUCCCAACGUCCGCUAUUCUAUUUGGAUUGAUGGAAAACUUCAGCUUGUUGUGGAUCCAUAUCAAAUUCUUGAAAGGUAUUCUGGAUCUUUCUGUCAUCUGCCUAUUUAGGCUCUAGUUGAUGGAGAAUCAUGUUUUAUGCUCAUAGGGGAGAGAUUAAAAAUUUUAUAUGUUCAACAUAUCUUAACUCACUGUAAGCAUUUGUCAUGUGGUAUAUGGGCAGUUACAACUUUUUGUAUGGUUAUAUUGUCCAAUUGGGAUUUUACCUUGUGAUCUUUCAGUCUUCUACUAGCCAUUCAUAACUGUUAAGAUAUCUAUGGUGAUAGUUGUCUGAAAGGUUUUUUUUGGUAAGGUUUAGUUUUGUUAGCCCUUCCAUUAAGCCUGGAUUUUAUUUUGCACGCUUUUUUGUCAUCUUACGCUAUAAGCUUCUCAUGGAAUUGGGCAUGUUCAAUGAAAAAUAAAAUGUUUUUCCAACAUUUAAUCAAGGAGAUAAAAAUCAACAUCAGCUAUUGUAUAUAUACCUAGCAGUUGUGCUAACUUCACAUUUCUAGGCUUUAAAGAUGCCAUGCAUAUGAAAAUUAAGCAAAAGAAAUGUACCAUCUUCGGUUUGGGGGAUAGAAAAGUCACAGGCUAGUUCUCCGUUAAGUGACAUAUGUGCUUUUGGGAGCCUUACAUAUUUAGAAGCUGCGCUUUUGUAGACAUUUGCAAAAGGGUGGAUUUAGAUAAAUAAAACAUGGAACAUCUUUUUGCUUAUGUGUGGUGCUUGAGUAAAAUUGGAUAUCUGAGCUUUUGCCAGUGUAUAUGCUUCAAACAAAAUUUCAAGUGCAACCUCAGGCUUGCUUUACUAAAGUACUUGAAAUCAUCUACAUAUUUCAAGUAAUUAAUCAGGGAACUUCUCAUUUUCCUUGGGUUGACGAAUUUGUGAAAAUGAGAUUUUCCAAGUUGUGUUCAAUUAUUUGGAUCAAGCUGAUAAACUGGCACUUCCUUUUCCUUGCCUCUGGAAUUGAUUUUUUUUCCCUGGUAUUAUUUUGUGGAAUAGGACGGAAAAGAAAAUGAAAAUUCGAUUACUUAGAUUGUGCUUUUUACAUGUAUAUGAGAUCAUUUUCAUCUGUUAUAUGUAAAGUAUCUCUUUUCCCCCUCCCUCUCCUGAAUGGCUGGUAAGAGAACAAUUCAUCAUGGCAAAGAAAACUAGCUUUGGUAGCAGUAGAUAAUAGAUGAUAACCACUUAAUUCCUCAGGUUUUUGUGGCGCCAAAAUGCCACUUUUGCAAUCUCAAGACAUUACGCACGAUUUGAUGUCAUCGUAGAAGCUGAGGCCAAUAAAGCUGCAGGGAAGUAUGACAAUGUCUCUAUUGACAACCAGAUUGACUUUUAUAGAAAGGAGGGUUUAACACCAUACUCGAAGGCUAAGCUUCCAAUAACUAGUGGUAAGCCCCUGUAACAUCUGUUUGCUUGCUUUUGAUCUCCUUUUCCAAAUAAAGUUUUAGUUUUGUGUUGCUCAUUGCGUAUCUGCAGAUGUUCCUGAAGGAUGCGUAAUUAUACGGGAACACAUUCCUAUUACCAAUCUCUUCACCUGUCUGUGGUUCAAUGAAGUUGAUCGUUUUACUUCCAGGGAUCAGUUGAGCUUUUCAACUGUGAGGGACAAAAUAAUGGCUAAAGCUAAUUGGACCAUCAACAUGUUUUUGGAUUGUGAGCGCAGAAAUUUUGUGAUACAGGUAUUCUUUCUCCUUCCUUUUCUUAUCAUUUUAGUUUCUGCAAGGAAUUUGCACCUCUGUUGUCUUCCAAGAAAAGUAUUGCAUUUCUUUUCUUCUUAUUUUGUCCAGGGAUCCCACUUCCAUCUUUAUGAAAGAAGUUGAUAAUUGUUCUAUCAGUAUUUUGAAGACAUUAAAAAUGAUGCUUUCUGCACUUUUGUUUUAAAAUCUUUUUACUGGAAUAGUAGUUUGAGAAUCCAAAGUUUUAUAGGCAUAUCACAGAGAUUUAUUGGAGAGAAGGCCACCACCUUUGCCACGAGCUAGAGUUUAUUCUCCCCCAAGUUCUGUUCGUUAUAACACACCUACUGAAACAGCAAGGAAGAAAAGCCCCGUUAAACGGGUAAGAGGAGGUAAGAAGCCGGGAUCUAGACGGCAUCGGAAAGUUGUUGCUGGAAAUAGGGAUAAUCCUUUACUUCGAUUACUUUCUCCGUAGGUUUUUAUGCAAAGAAAAGAUACUUCUAUUCUUUGUCUCAAUUCUUUGAAAGGGAUAGGAUGAUUUUGGUAGAUAUUGGUAGCAUAUUCAACAAAGAUGAGUUUUUUUUGAAAGUGUCAGAUAUUCGAUCACUUUCAAUGUAUAUUUCUUCACACGAACUCUAGGGUCAGUCGUUUUUCUCUUGAUCGUCGAGCUCUCCUGUAAUUAUCUGCUUCACGCAGUCUGAGGAAAUGCCUAAUUCGAGGAUAAACUACUUUUAUUCGUUUAUGAUCAGCAUUGAUGAAUUCUUUUACCCAUCUGGAUGGUUGUCUUCUAGCAGGUGAUGACAGAAUUUUCAUACCACCAAACCCAGUGAAACAGAAAAUGCACGUCCAUAUUUGAUUUCGUUUGAGUACCCGCCUAUUUUGGUCGUUACUUGCGAGCUUGAGCUUUUAUUUGGUUAGACUGAGAACAGGGUAGUUUUAAAUUUGGACACGGCUUGAAUAUAAAGUGGAGGAGUUUUUGUAUGAUAAACAAUGCUAAGGUGAUCUCUAAGGAACUGGUCUUGCAAGCACUGCAGCUGCAGACCUGUAUUUUACAUCUAAUUCAAGAGUCAUCCAAAAUGAGCUGGUUCUGAGUUUCUGAUUCGAAAGCGUGAUUCUUAUUUUCAGUACUGCUACUUGAUCCACGCUUCUAGAGAGCCUGCCGAAGCAUGCAGGUUUAUGAAAAGAUAAACCAAAUAAUGCAAAUGAAAACUCAUGUAUACGGACAAAACCUCAGCACUUCGUACCUGUCCUGAAAUUAUUUGAUUUUAUCUUUGUGUAAGCAACUAGCCGGCAGCCAUAUUUAAAGCUGUGGGAGUGCAUUAUUGAACAGCUAACGCAAAGCCGUGACCUCAUGUUGAUGGCCCUCACCAAUCAUUCAAUAUGGGCACGUAUUAUAACGCAAAGUCGCAGACAUAAUUUUUCCUUUUUUUUUCGGAGACGACAGAUGUAUAAUUUAAUUUAUUCUACAUUAAGGGAGAGAGGGCGGACCUAAGGAAGAUCAGGAAUAAUCCGGAGGGAAAUGAACUAUUACCGAAUCAAACGAGUACACAACACAGUUACCUAAAUUUUUUAGAAACAAACCACAUAAAUGUGACAUUUUUGGUGAGCGAUAAGUUUUGAACCUUUACCUUCCACCCCAUCAAGCUAGGUGGUGGUCACUGGCCUUUGGGCUGGUUACAUAAAUUUUCGUUUGCCUCAGUCAAAUUUACGUACGCAACUAAAAGGUUUACGACUGAAUUGUUUUUUAUUCAUUCAGAGUUUGACGAGACUGUUGCAAUUUUGGUAAUGAAAACAAGAAACUAGAGAUAAAUAGAAAGAUCGGACGGGGAGGCUCUUACAUAUGCAUACGUUUGCUUGAUGCAUAAAGGGAUUUCCGAGACGGUAUGAAGAGCGGGUUCACAUUUGCCACAAACACUUUCUGCUGUACUUACAGUCUCGUCAGCUAACAUCAAGUGUAGAAAUGAAUAUCCUGCUAAUUAUUGCAAUAUCAACACAUCAUCAUUAUGCAAAUCAUCUUUCCGAUCCACAAAUCUCCACUUGGACGCGAGCCAAUUAACAACCCACGUAUGAGCCUCUUUAAACUCUCUCUUUUCCUGGAAGAUAAGUAGGUUAGAUAAUUGCCGUUACAGAUAAAAAAAAAAUUGGAUACUUGCAUUUAAUUUUGAUGCGUGACCAUCUCAUUAAAGAUAAAAAGCAGAAGUCCAUUAACUUGCUUAAUUUCACUUCACCCUCUAAAUUCAUAACGUCAAUUGAUUUAUUGUGGAAAAUGAAUAAACGACACGAUAGGUAAAAAUAUGAUUAGAAAAUGUGUUCACGAAAAAUGUAAAGAUUUAUUGGUGAAAAAUCCCUUUCCAAACGGGCAAAAAUGCAGGGAUUCUUGAUAUUUUCCAUAGAAUACUGACAAACAAAAAAUGUCAAUCUCAAAAGGAUUUGUCACACAUAUGGUACCUAAAACUAUUUACCAACUAACAUGCUCAAGUAUUAUAUUUUGCUGAGUUGUUGAAGAAAUCUUCUAGGGGUAUCUUGUCAUUUUGAGAACUAAGUUAAAAGUGAUUAGAAAGUGAUAAUGACGGAUUCUGAAUAUUUUAUUAUUCAACAAGAAGAAAGGAUUUCCUUGAGUUGAGCGGAUGACGACUGAUCAGCAACCAGCUGCAUGUUUUUAUCCUUUUCUUGCCCUUGAUCUUUAUCUUUAUUUCACCCUUUUUGUCACUUUUUAUUUAUUUAUUUAUUUUUAAGAUCUACCUGAAAAUUUAGCUGUAACAACCAGACACCUAAAAUAAAAGACAUCCACACUUUUUUUGUUCCUUAAAAAUGCUCUGCUGUUAACCCUUCUAUAAACCCUUUUCCCAACGUUCCCUCGAUUCCACUCCUCUUCUAGAUGUCAUUCCGUCUGGGUUUUGGAUCCAACGCUUUUCUUGGAUCUUUCUCCAUCCAGUCCCUAUUCACUGAUCUCGAUUUCCCAUGAUAACCAGCCCAGAUAGUCACCUGUUUGUUGCUGUGAGAAGGGGACGAAAACCCACCUAUGGUCCAAAACUCUAAAUCUGAAGGAUUGCUUUCGGGUACUUUAUUGCUUAUUUGCAUCCAAAGUCUUGAACUUUAGGUGAAAAAUCUUUCUGGGUUUUGAUCAGUUGAGAAUUGUACCAUGCCAUCUAGAUUCCUGGGCUUCUGUUACAUGUGCUUUAAAAGUUAAAAUCCGCAGUGAAUUCAGUUUUUAGUAUUACAUUUAAGGCUAAAAAUAUAAGUUUUGGUUAUGUUUGAUUGAAGGAAGUCUGUUCUUUUUUGUGAAUUAAUUUGAAAAGGGCUGUUCUUGCCUUCUGGGAAUUGGAGGUUUCUGGAAAGGGGAAAAGGGGAAAUAGAUUAUCUUUGUUGUUUGGGAAUGAUUGAUGGGUUCGGGUGGGUUCUUCAUGAUAUGUAUUCUGCAUUCUUUGGUGGCCUUGAGCUGUGGAGGCGUGAUGAUGUUCCAUAGUUACGAGUUCCUUGAAUUCAGCCAUGGGAGAGACCGUGCCAGUAAGCUCGCAGGAUCAACCCCUCAUGAUCAGCUGUUAAUCCGAACUUCGGAUUCAUUUUCAGGGUUGUUACUGUUUGCAAUUGGUUUUCUCUUGCUCAUGGUAGCUUUUGUAAAGGACAGGGACUUUCAGAGCUUUUUUGCUAGGGGGUGUGUGCUUCUCCAUGUUGCAAUGGCAAUUUGGAGAAUAUACUUCGAGAGGAAGCUUGAAGUCCUUGGCCGCGAUUGGCUUCGCCUGGUUGUUGGUGAUAUAGUAUUGGGGCUUUCUUGGGUUUUUUUCCUUGUAUAUUCGUGGAGGGAGAAGUAUGAUUGAUUUGAGUGGGAAGCUUACUUUGCCUGAUCAGACACUGAAGAUCAUCAUCAGAGAGGCGAGGCUGAAUGGAAUUUGCUUCCCAGCAGUGCAAUCUUCUUGUUUCUGUCUCCUGUCUAGUGGAUCUCGUGGAUUUCUUUCACUAUGUCUAGUCUAGUGCAUCAGCACAAAUUUGUCGAUUUUGCUUUGUUUGUUGGUACAGUUUUCUUUUUUCCGAUAAGAAAUGGUAAAUGUAAUUUCCUUCUCUGAGAUUGAGAUUGUAAUCUGUGUCUUUCCAGAACUCUGUUUGGUUUGCAAUUCGCACUAGUCUCUUAUUAUGGUGUAUAUAUGAUGAUAUGAGUGCUUGGUUUGUGAGUUAGGACUCUCCCUUUGAUUACUUUUCUUCAGUCCCCCAUUCAGUUUCUGAAUCAGUAAUCAAAGUACAGCAGCUGCUCACUGGCAAUUUUCAAUGGCACGGCUACUGUAAACGAUGAAUUUUGCAAGUUGCUUUAUUAUAGCGGACUAAUUGAUCUGCUAGCAAUCCUAUGCUUACCGAUCCCCGCAAAAACGGCUCAAGGUUGAUUAGCUAAUCGCUGAUAGUGAUAAGGCUGGCUGCCGCCUGGCAAUAUCAUUAAGAACAUAUACGCGCACCUCUGACCUUUAGUUGAGUGUAUGUUAAACGCAUUUUUAAUGAAGUGUGUGUUUGUAUAGUGGUUUAUUUGUCAAAUUUAAUUUGAUUAUAUUAUAUUACAAACAAGUUUUUCAAUAACUUUUGUUAUCAUCUUAAUCAUUUUCUUAUUUCACGUGCGUUAUAUUUAUCACAUAAAAAAAAAUCUCACAUCCCUUGUAUCCAUCAUAUUAAAAAAAAAAGUGCUACGGUAAUUUAAAAACGUUCUUGGUAACGAAGUUCUAGAGUGUUAUUGGGAGAUACCCAAUAAAAUAAAAAAUUGUGAACUUUGUUUCUUUUUACCAUCUCGAUCUUUCAUGAAGAGAAGGCACAUUUUUCAGAAGUUAGAGUGCCAAAUUAAACUAAAAUAGUACUAGUACUUAAUACUUUUGCAAGGACUUAAUUGAGAUAUUCUAAACUUUUGGAGGGCUAGAUUAAUAUUAGCCACGAGAUUAAUAUUCUAAACUUGACUGCAAAGGCGAGCAGUCCUCUCCUUCCAGUAUCAGAGCCCUCUUUUCAACACUUAAACAGAAGUCUUGUAGCCUUUACGCUCUUUCAACGCUAAAACAGAAGGAGAGGGAAUCAAAAAAUUGGAAGCAAGACCAGAGGUAUGUCCUUUUAGUUACUUACUUACUUUUGGUCUAUUUCACGUAUUUGAUGAUAGAUCAAGAUUGCUUCUUUUUUGUAUGCAAAGGUAAAUCUUAAUAGCGUAAUAACUUUCGUGCACAUGCUUUUGUGGGGUUUUUCCGUUCCUCAUAAUCGACUGAGUAAAUUGCAGAGACGGGAUAUUUGCCUUACUUGUGUAGGAUUAACACAAUUAUUCACGAAAAGGCGAAAACUUGAUUGUAUUUAAUAAAAAAUUGUCCUUUUUUUGUGCCCCUUUUGGCGGUGGGGAGGCGGGGGAGGAACUCUGUAGAUUUCGCAUCUUCUUUUCUGUCCAUUAAUCAAUUAUGAUGUAUGUGUACGUCUCUUUCAUACUGAUUUUGGCGGAUAUAGAACUCUGGUAAUCAUAGGAAAUGCAAAAAUGCUUGCUUUGCAUUUUAAAUUGUUUUGCGUUUUGGAUUGUGGGAGUUAAUUGUGUUAAGGAUUGGUGUAUGCUAAAUUUGUAGAGAAACCUGACAACUCGAAAAUUGGUAUGGUGAGCUGACUCUUUUUUUUUUUUUGCGUAUCCUUAUCUGCCAAAAUGGUUUGAUGCUUUUAUCUCCCCCACUCUCCUCUCAAUACCUAAUUGCUGACUUAGCAUUGAAUCCAAGAGGAGUGAGGACCAAUAGCGUGCUAGAGUCCUUUGAUUCUUUAGCUGUUUUGUGUUUCAUCAAGGAGAAACUAAAUAAGUAAUCUUUCUGCUAGCGUGAUCUUAUGCAAUUGUGUAAGUGAGAAUCUCAUGUCUAAAGUGACUUAUAACUAUUUAUAUCAUUGCUGUGCAGCGAUACUAUAAUUUGGAUGGGUUCUUGUUGGAGCUCGUUCACAUGAAUGUGUCAAAUCCUUUCAACUCAUUCACUUGACCUGAAAGUUCUCCUCUGACAGUUUUGUUGAUAAUUGACUUGCAUAGCAACCUUUUGUUUGAAGAUCCCUUAUUGUUUUGAAAACAAUUAAUUUCAAAUUAGAAUAGAAGAAAGUUGGCAUUGGCAGUAGAAUAAAAUUUCCUUAUAAGGUAUCUCUUUUUAUAAAACUGAACGAGAAUCGUGAUGAUUCAAGUUGCUUAAGGUUUCAAGAAAUGUUCAUAUGUUUAGGCUUCCUUUUCAAGUUGCCAACUUUUGCUUUUAUUGAUUUCUUUUUUCUUAUCUCUGAUAUGUAUUUCAUUCUAGUUGUGCUUCUUGUGCAUAUUGUUGUUCUCAAAUAUUAUUGAAGAGGGUAACUAUUAUAAAUACUAAUUUGCAUUCAGUGUAGAGUUGAUUUGUAAUGGUUCAAACUGAGAUGACCUUGGUUUUGCUGUUCUAGAAGAGAGUUUUAAGUUCAAUUCAUGGAAGACUUGAUACUCAUGUUCUUUUGGAGAAGGAAUUAAGGUGAAUCUGGAUUCUAUAUCUUUUGGGUUGCCGAACAUGGAAAAUUGCAAAAUCUAAGGAUUGACUAGAAUUGUCCUUUUGAUUUUUGGGAGGUUGACUGGCUCCCCCAGCUCACUCGUGAACUUGUGAGUUGUGACGUUAUAUAUCAAAUUUAGGGAACAUUAACGAUAUGGUGUAAGCUAAAUCCCGUCACUUUACUCCCAUAAUUUAGGUAUUUAAGUGACAAAAAAAUCUACGAGGUUGUAAAACAAAUCCACCAAAUGAUAGGUAAAAUGAAACUAGGACCUAGAGAUGUUUGCAAUAUGAUCAAUUGAGCAUAAAGCUUCAGUUGAUAAAGAAACUACAACAGAUUUGCUUUAGAUUUAAAUUCUAGGUGGCAAAGAGUCAAAGACAUUCACAUCUAGAGUACAAAUUAAAAUUGAAGAAUAUAGUUCGGUGCCAGACAUUCGCGGGCUGAGCUACUCUUUUCUUGGGCCAACCUAAAAGUAUAUACUACUCAUAUACCUGGCAAAGCUAACAAUAGGGAUUCUUUCAAGAAAAUAUGAAAACAUAACUUUGAAGGACACUUGUAGUACAUAGGUAAAUUCAAUUUUUUCGCUUGAAAUCUUUGAUUAUCUCCAGUCAUAUAUGCGUUGUUUUCUUUUUUAUUCUUCAAUUUUGAUGAAGAUUCUUUUACCAGGAAUAUACUGCCUGCCAGAAUAGUGUAUUAAACUGUAUGUUGAUUUUGUGCAGUUAUAUGGAUGCAUUUAGCUUUCUGUUUGUAAUUAGACUGUACAUUGAGUCUGCAUCAUAGCAUGUUUCUCUGAUAGCUGAGCAUAUGAUUGUCGUCAUUGCAUGUUUAUUCUUUGUGUAUUCCAACUUGGAGCUUUGAAUCUUAUAGUUUUGAACCCUCUUUUUUUUUUUUUUACCAGGGAGUUCAUAUAAUGGGUGGAUUGCCUGCACAGAACUCUUCAUCUGUUAUCUCCUUGAAUGUACACAAAGAUCAAAGUCCAGGUUCUGUAGGACCAGGGCCGGAUUCAAAGCCGCGGAAGAAGAUAUGCUGUGCUUGCCCCGAGACAAAGAAACUAAGAGAUGAAUGUGUUGUGGAGCAUGGCGAAGCUGCUUGUGGAAAAUGGAUCGAGGCUCAUCGUAAAUGCCUCCGUGCGGAAGGCUUCAAUGUUUAAAAAGUAUUACCGUGGUCGAUUGGAUACACGAAUUGCAUUAUGCUGUGGAAAUUGAUAGAAUUUUUGUUUCUAUUGUUUUGGGCUGCACCAUACACUGGAUUUUUGUCUGGUAUAGUAAUGUUACAGAUUAACCGAGAGAUAACUGAAAUGCAGCAUUUGCUCAUUCCCACAUAAAGGGUUCCUGAUGAAAGACAGGGUACAUACUUGGUGCUGGUAGAAAGUGUACGGGAGGAAUGCUAAAGCAUAUCUAUCAGGGAAUAAAAGUUUCAGAAUUCUAAUUGUGCCCCCUUUUUUUUUGUGGUUAUCCUCCUGCAAGUGCAUUUGUUAUUGUUUUGUACAGGUUGUGCAUUUACUGAUGCUAGUCCUGGCCUCUGAUUUUUUUGAAGGGUUACUCGUCCUCAUGUUGUUGUUGUGAUUGCCUCUCUUGUGAAUGCAAAGUAGCCUCCAAGUUGAAGCUUUCUGAAAUUAGAUGCUACUAGAUUAGCUUUACUAGUUGUUGUCUUAUAAUAGACAAAAUUUUUAUAAAAAAAAAAAAAAAUAAAUUAAAUUGGUGACUGUACUGGCUUUAAAGUGUGAAGAUCCGCCAUUUUAUUUUUAUUUCUUGCCCUGGGAGUAAGAGGGAUUCUGGUCUGGACGGUUGUUUGGGCCCAACUUAUGAGAAUGUCUCAGGCAACGGAUCCCAAAACAAAAUGCGGAGAGGUUUAUACAAGAGAGUGGGGGGGAGGGUCUACUCGACAUUGCAGUGGGCUACUCAUAGUUUGUGGAUGGGCUGCGGGGCCUGGCUUUAGAAAGUUGCAAUAAAUACUCCUAUUUGUUUCAAAAUAAGGAAAUUAAAAAAAUUGAGUCCUAAAUAAAGUUGAAAACCUGAAAUGGAUGGUAGCUGAUGAAUGUACUCUAAUUCACAGAUUUAACCUCCAAUUUUUCUUUUGGACGUUUAAUUAAUUAAUUUUUUUGGUUUGGAAGAAUAUGGUGGAAGGUCUAGGCAUUAUUAGUAAAGUUGCAAGCCCUAUUAAUUGGGUUAAGUGGCAAUUUGCGUGACUUAUACUUGUUUUUGCUUCAAUUUGCGAAUGUCCUCCUUGACAUGAUACAUACAUAUAUAUAUAUAUAUAUAUAUAUAUAUAUGCAUUCCAGAAAGUGAUUUAGCUGAACGAACUUUGCAGACCAUAUAAUAGGAUGAAUGUGAUUUUGUUGUAUCGAUGAUGUAUUCCUUAGGAGUGGGCGCGAAACUUAUUGCUGCCAUUCGUCACGUCUUUGCGUGGCAAAAGAUAAAGGCGUGGACGCAAAGGGCUUCUCAUCUCAUCUCGAUCCGCGGUUGAUGCCCAGUACAGAAGAAGAUUCAACACUAGUCCUAUAUUAUUAUCAUUCAUCAUGAUGGAGUGACAAAUUCUUUUGUAUCUUUUUGAAUGGAAGUGAGAAAUUCAAGAGUACUAAAACAUUAUUGUUAUUAUAAUCACCUCGUUACAGGAUGAGGAAGGAAACACACAACAUAAACAGUGAUUUGUCAAAUCACUGGACCAUCAAAACAAAAGACAGACCCCACAACACAACACAAAUUAUUGACCAUCAUCACAUACUAAUUUAGAGAACCUCACUACAUAGUUUUGUAUGAAUCAGGAGGCACUCAUAUCAUAUGUAUAUGUGAGAGCCGUGUCAAUUGUCACAGGUGCAGUUGACACAGGCGCAGCUCGGACCGCACUUGCACUUGCCAUUUUGCGCACCUCCUUCCAUCAUCACGAAGGUCUCCACAAAGCUGCAAAAGUAAACAUGGAAACAUGAAAUUAAAAAACAAAAAAAAAAAAUGGUCCGGCCAUG